Molecule: long non-coding RNA, 70212 nt
Filed under: Malus domestica (apple)
Lineage: Eukaryota; Viridiplantae; Streptophyta; Magnoliopsida; Rosales; Rosaceae
Description: long non-coding RNA (MDOM_LNC008901)
Source: RNAcentral
AACAAAACAGCAACUUUAUACUUUCGUCGUGGUAGAAACCCAACAUACACAAUCAAAUUAAAGAAGUGCCACCAGCUGGUCAUCUGGUUUAUUUAUAAUCACUCAGAGGCAUAUAUACUUUGACUCCAAGCAAACGAGCACGCAACAAGGUAAAUACAGUUAAGGUGCUGGUAGGAUGAUGGGAGGUGAAAUGUGCGACUCAACGUCCCAUAGCUCCAAAACCCCAUGAACAAAGUCAUAGUAACCACCCUUGAGCGCUAGGUUGUUCUCUGCGAGCGCCUUUUGAACGUAAGGGUAAGUUUGUAGGUUUAUUAGCGACAAAUUUACUGCUUCCUGCAUAAAAAUUAUCAUUCAAGAAGAUGUUUAGGUGAGAUUAAUGUCAUAACUCAUGAAAGCGCACGCACACACCUUAACUGGUCACUAAAAAUUAUUUCAUUUGCAAAAAGUGAAUCGAGAGUAAAUGGCCUUCCAAAUAUUUCAUCAAUCCAAGAUCGAAUUAAUAUCUUACCCUUGCACAAUCCUCACAUUGUUCCUCGAAAGUGGUGCCACCUUGUCCAUUUGCUAUAACCUUAGCCUUGGCGGGUAAACCAAUUUUGACCCAUUCAUCUAUGAAGUCACUGCAUAUUCCAAUCAAAUGGUUAAGGAUGCAAAACUAUAUACCAUUAGCAAGUUCUAAUGAUCUCAGUUCAUUGCUAAAAAAAUGAUUAGGCUGGGUUUUUGGCUAUACUCUUUGACCAUCCUAAAAAUGCUAACAAAUAUCCAAAUUAACAGGUCUUAUAUUGCAUCCUUGUAAACGAUUAUGAUUAAUCAUCUUCCAUAAUCUACAACUUUUGUGUGUAAAAAGCCUUACAAGGGAACAGAGUUAUCCUCAGGGUGACUCAUAAGCCUCUUUAUCCCACCACAACGACUGUGUCCAAUUACCAAAAUAUUUGUCACCUGUUCAAUUUUCUUCUUGUUAGCAUUCAAUUCAUACUAUUUGAGUAACAAGUGAAGAGAAAAGGAUUAAGAGUUAUUAAUUCAAUAAAUUAAAAGACUUUUGGAAUGUUUACCAGGAGUUGUGUAAUAGCAUAUUCUAUAACUGCUCCAACUCCUGCGUGUUUCAGCUGUAAAGAUAUGGAAAAAAAUUAUUUUCGUAGUCGGAUGCAUGACUAUUAUGUGAUUUAUGAGAAAUUAUAUUCUCAAAGUUCAAUAUUAUUUUGAACGUGAAACUGACACACUUGUUCAUACAGUUUCUAAUGCAGGUGUGCGUUACUAUUAUAUAAUGUAGAGAGUAAUGGACCUGACUGAAUGCAGGAACCAUGUUUGCAAUGUUGCGAGCCAUGAAGGCCUCCCCAGGUUGGAAACUAAGGAUAUGUGAGGGGCUCACUCGGGAGUCCGAGCUGUUAAAGAUAGUGAAGGACCAGCUAUUAAUCAUGUACACAAUACAUUAGAAUAAUACUCUCAGAUACUUAGCUUAGCUGUUAAGUUUUGGCUUGUUAGAAUUAGUUGUGUAAAAUGCUUAGUCAGCAUUAUUAUGUAUUUUAUGUGUAUAUAUAUACACUGUGUACUUUGUAACUGAUGUAAUGAGAAAACCAUUUUACAACAAAUCCAAUCUCUCUCUAGAUAUUCUCUCUCUCUAAUUUCUCUCUAGAAUCUUGAGUUUCUCCAGAUCCCUAAUCUUCAACAUGGUAUCAAUCGCCUUCGUCUCACGACUUCGAUCCUUGCUUCCGUGAAUUUUCUCGCCUUUUCUUACCUCCCAAACAGAUCUUACCUUUUUCUUUUCUGUAUCUUGUCUACUAUUUCCAUGGCGACCACCACGAAUCCUUCUGAUUCUCCUUCUCCUGCAACUUCUUCUGCCCCGGCUCCCUCUCUCCUCACUCCGAUUGCAUCUAUUACUGUUCAGAAUGUUGCUGGCAUGGUUCCAACUAAGCUCAAUCGUCAGAAUUACAUUACCUGGCGCAGUCUGUUUCUUCCUGUUCUGAAAUGCUUUAAGCUUCUAGGGCUCAUCAAUGGCGAAGAUCCUUGUCCACUGGAAUUUGUUCGUAACUCCUCUGGUUCUCGGAUUCUCAACCCCGAUUAUGAAGCUUGGUGUGAACGAGAUCAGAUUUUGACAAUCUGGAUCAAUUCUACACUUGCUGAGGAUCUUCUUCCACUGACGAUUGGGAUGGAAGAUUCGCGGUCUCUUUGGCAGUCUCUUGAGCGUCGAUUUGCUGGUGCUUCGCGCACUCAUGUCCACAGUCUUCGCUCCAAGAUUCAGAAUAUUCAGAAAGGUGAUUCUUCAUUGACCGACUAUCUCAACUCCAUCAAAGAAAUCUCUGACAAACUGGCCGCGGCUGGUGAGCCGAUAUCUGAGAAGGAUCUUGUUGCGUAUAUUCUUUCUGGUCUGCCGGAUGAGUAUGAAUCGUUUAUUGAUUCAAUUGAGACGCGAUCUGAAGAUGUCAAUGCUGAUGAACUUCACGACCUUCUUCUCAGUAAAGAAAUUUCUCUUCAAAAACGCAAGACUCGAUCAUCUUCCUCCUCCGCUCCUUUUCAUGCCUAUACAGCACAGCCACAUCCAUCUGUCUCUAAUUCCUUUCGCGGAAAUUCUCGAGGAAAGUCUCAGUAUCGCAAUCGAUCUAAUCAGAAUCGUCAUUUUGGGGCUAAUCAAAAUGGUACUUUUGGACCUAAUCCGAAUCGUUAUUUUGGAGCUAAUCGGAAUGGUACUUUUGGCGCUCAUAGCAAUUCUGGUGGUGUCCUUGGUCCUGCUCCAAAUCAGAAUCGAUCAUCCUCAUUUUUCUCUGGACGUCCUAAUCCAUGUCAACUAUGUCAUCAACAUGGUCAUCUUGCUAUUUCUUAUGGUCAACUUUCACAAUUUGCGUCUCAGCACUCUCAGGCCUUCACCAACACUCCUGUUGGCAUGUCUGCUAUGACUGGUUCCUCUUCCCCAAGCUAUUGGCUCACUGAUAGUGGUGCUUCACAUCAUGUCACUCCUGAUCCAGCAUCUCUCAACUCAGGAAUUCCGUACACUGGUACUGAACAACUGUUCGUCGGUGAUGGUAAAGGUCUUUACAUUUCUCACAUUGGAUUUGCACUUCUUCGAACUGCCAAUGUUGCGUUUAAACUGAAUAAUGUUCUUUUAGUUCCUAAAGCUUCUCAUAAUUUGCUCUCAGUCUAUCGUUUUGUUCAUGACAAUUGGUGUUCUCUGACAUUUGAUCCUUUUGGAUUCUAUGUCAAGGAUCUAAGAACUGGGAGGACGCUUUUCCAGGGCCCCAGUGAAGGAGGUCUUUAUCCCUUCUAUUGGAAUGCAUCUAAUGGCGUAUCUGGCAUUGCUAUUUCACCUCAUGCCCUCAUGAUAGCUAAAGCAGACAUCCAUAUAUGGCACAGAAGGCUUGGACAUCCUUCUUCUAUAGUGUUAAAUAAGGUUGUCAAGCACAGUAAUCUCCCUAUUGUUGGUUCAGUACAUAAACAAUCAUUUUGUUCUGAUUGUCAAUUGGGGAAGGCCUCUAGACUCCCAUUUUCUGUUUUGCCUUGUACAUCCACUAGGCCAUUUCAUAUCAUUCAUGCUGAUGUAUGGGGUCAUUCCCCCACUCCUUCAUGUACUGGAUAUAAAUACUAUCUCAUUCUUGUUGAUGAUUUCACCAAAUAUAGUUGGUUAUAUCCGUUGUACUUCAAAUCUGAUGUGUGUUCUGUUCUUCAAACUUUUGUAUUAAAAAUUCAGAAUUGGUUUGAUUGUAAGAUUCAGUGCCUGAGAUCUGAUUCAGGGGGUGAGUUUCUCAGCUCUAUUUUACAAGGUUUUCUUAAUGCUCACGGUAUAGUCCAUCAAUUGAGCUGUCCUCACACUCCCGAGCAGAAUGGGUGCGCUGAGCGGAAACAUCGACAUGUUGUGGAAAUGGGAAGGACUUUGUUAUCUCACAGUGGUUUGCCCUCUAAGUUUUGGGUUGAAGCAUUUCAAACCGCAGUGUAUCUCAUCAAUAGACUGCCAUCUCAGUUUUCCUCUUGCCCCUGGGAAUUAAUGUUCAAAGCACCGCCUAAAUAUCAUGUUCUGAAGACUUUCGGUUGUGCCUGUUAUCCUUGGUUACAACCCUAUAGUUCUCAUAAACUGGACACAAAGAGUAAACUCUGUGUAUUUUUGGGGUAUAGUCUGCAUCACAGUGGGUACAGAUGUUUUGAUCCGGUUACUAACAAGUUAUACAUUUCACGACAUGUUGUCUUCGAUGAAGCUUGCUUUCCUUUCAAGCAAUGUACUUUUUCUCCUACUCUUUCCCCCAUCUCAACUACUACACCUUCAGACUCUCCCAUUUCCUUUACCAUACCGGUCUCUUCUUCAUCACAUCUACCCCAUGCCUCCCCCUUACCUCCUGCCACUGUCUUACCAACUUCAUUUCCUACUUCACUCUCACCUACUACUGUGCCUUCUCCACCUUUAGCAUCCCCUACUCACCCUACAACUACUCCUCCUUUAGUUUCUCUCCCUGUUAACAAUCAUCCCAUGAUUACACAGGCCAAGGUUGGCAUACACAAACCUAAAGUGUUCACUGCCACCAAGCAUUCUCUUCCUUCGACUGUUGACUCUCUCACAGUUAUUCCUUCUACACCCACCACUUAUCUCCAAGCUUCUAAAAACUCCCACUGGUUGGCAGCAAUGAAGGAUGAGUAUCAAGCUUUACAGUCCACAGGUACUUGGGAACUAGUACCCCCCAAUCCUCAAUAUAAUUUGGUUGGCUGCAAAUGGGUAUUUAAACUUAAACACAAGGCUGAUGGUUCUAUAGAAAGGUACAAAGCUCGGCUUGUCGCCAAGGGAUUUCAUCAACAGGAAGGUCUUGAUUUCUCCGAGACGUUUAGCCCAGUAGCUAAACCGACUACUAUUCGCAUUCUCCUGUCUAUUGCAGUCACAUAUAAUUGGUUUAUUCAUCAGUUAGAUGUGAGUAAUGCAUUUCUCCAUGGCUAUCUCAAAGAGGAUGUCUACAUGGUGCAACCUCCUGGGUUUAUUGAUCAAUCUCAACCUCAUCACGUUUGUAAACUGAAGCGAUCGCUUUAUGGCCUCAAACAGGCGCCCAGGGCCUGGUAUGAAGCCUUUUACAGUGCUAUUCUUUCAUUGGGUUUUAUCUCUUCAUCCUCUGAUACUAGUCUUUUUAUCAAGAGAGAUUCUACUAUCACCUUUAUCCUAGUCUAUGUGGAUGAUAUAAUCAUCACUGGGAGCUCCUCCAUGGUCAGUCAGUCCAUCAUUUCUCAACUCCAAUCUUUGUUUCCUGUCAAAGAUUUGGGUGAUAUUCAUUACUUCCUUGGCAUUGAAGUUCACAGAUCCCCUACCGGUCUCUUUCUUAAUCAAUCCAAAUAUGCCUUGGAUUUACUAAAGAAAACCGACAUGCUUGGUGUCAAACCCUGCUCUACUCCAGUGAGUUCAGCCAAGUUAGACAGUUCUGGCUCUAUUCUUCCAGAUCCUACAACUUAUAGGUCCACUGUUGGUGCACUUCAGUACUUGACUUGGACACGUCCUGAUCUGGCUUUUGCAGUAAAUCAGGUUUGUCAACAUAUGCAUACUCCUAGAACUAUCCAUCUACAAGCUGUCAAGAGGAUUUUACGGUAUCUAAAGGGUACCAUUGCCUCCGGCUUAUGGUUCAAACCAGGAAAACAGUGCCUCACAGCUUGGUCUGAUGCUGAUUGGGCAGGUUGUCCGGUAGACCGCCGAUCUACUAGUGGCUACUGUGUUUUCUUAGGUCCCAAUUUGAUCUCUUGGAGUGCCAAGAAACAAACCACUGUGGCACGAUCUUCUACUGAAGCAGAGUAUCGGUCUUUAGCCAAUACUGCUUCUGAGAUUACCUGGGUGUGCAAGAUCUUGAAGGAUAUUUCUUUUCCUCUUCUACAACCACCUGUGAUCUGUUGUGAUAAUCUGAGUGCAAUUGCUUUAGCCAAGAACCCAGUUUUUCAUGCCCGAACCAAACAUGUCGAGAUUGAUUAUCAUUACAUCCGAGAGAAGGUUCUUCAAGGUCACAUCAGUAUUCAUCAUGUUGCUAGUCUUUUUCAGAUUGCUGAUAUCUUUACCAAGUCCUUACCUGCAGACAGAUUUGCUACUCUCAGUCACAAGCUUUCAGUUUGUUCUCCUCCCUUCAACUUGAGGGGGUGUGUUAAAGAUAGUGAAGGACCAGCUAUUAAUCAUGUACACAAUACAUUAGAAUAAUACUCUCAGAUACUUAGCUUAGCUGUUAAGUUUUGGCUUGUUAGAAUUAGUUGUGUAAAAUGCUUAGUCAGCAUUAUUAUGUAUUUUAUGUGUAUAUAUAUACACUGUGUACUUUGUAACUGAUGUAAUGAGAAAACCAUUUUACAACAAAUCCAAUCUCUCUCUAGAUAUUCUCUCUCUCUAAUUUCUCUCUAGAAUCUUGAGUUUCUCCAGAUCCCUAAUCUUCAACACGAGCAUGCAAAUACCAGAAACUGCGUUGGGAAUUAGCAACAGAAAGAUUAAUUAAACAUUUCUUGGUCUAUUUAUUCUAAUUAAGAUGUUACAGCCAAAUAUUACCUUGGGGCUUUGUCCAUUGGCAAGCUCCUUGUAGUAAUCUGGGUAUUUUCUGUAAGAUCAGUAGACAUUAUGCUUUCGAAUCUAUUAGAUAUAUAGCAAAUAUGUACGAUAAUUAAUUAUUUUCAUAUAAUAAUAAAGAAAAUAGUGAUAUUACUCGAAUUUGUUGACCCUGAAGUUGAUGAAGCCAUCUACAAUCCUUUGAACUGGGUCGAAAUGACCAUCUGCAGGUCUUUGCAAUUCAGCCAUCAACUUCUCAAUUUUGGCAGCAACCACAUCGUCCAGCUCUUCCUUCUCACUGCAACCAUGCCAACCAAGAUUAUCAUUAAUUUCAUCGUCCCAUGCAUAUAUUUUAUGCCACCAACAACCCUUUGUAGCCUUUAACAAAAACAAAUUGGAGACUAAUUUUUUUUUCUUGUUAGAUAUAUAGUUUACAUGUUAAAGUAACGUUUAGAAUCGGUCCAUGAACUUUCACCCUAGUUUAUAUUUAGUCCAUGUACUAAAAAUUCGUUAAUUGAAUUUGGUUCUUAAAAUUAACAAAAGAGUAAAUUGUAGUAAUGGUCCCUCAACUUUAAUUCAAUUGGAGCAAUGGUCAUUCAAUUAAAAAUCCAUUACCAUUGGUCCCUCAACUCAUCAAAAUGUGUAGUUAUGAUCAUUUUUAUCAACUUCGUUAAAAUUUUGUCAAAAUAAGUUAUGUUGGAAGGAUCAUUGCUACAAUUGGGGUCCCUCAACUCAUCAAAACGUAUAGCUAUGGUCAUUUUCGUCAACUUCAUCGGAAUUUUGUCAAAAUGAGUUAUGUAUGAAGAACCAUUGCUACAAUUGGGUUAAAGUUGAGGGACCAUUUCUCUAGUUGGAUUAAAGUUGAGGGACCAAUGGUAAUGAAGUUUUAGUUGAGGGACCAUAGCUGCACGUUUUGAUGAGUUGAGGGACCAAUGGUAAUAGAUUUUUAGUUGAGAGAUCGUUGCUAUAAUUUACUCUUAACAAAAAUAUGCACAAUUUUGAGUUCACAGACGAAAUCUAAACUAGGACCAAUUCUAAAUUUUUACUUUUACAUGUUAUAUUGUCAAACAUCAAUAUCUGAUAUUUUCAUAAAGUGGAUGGUUAGACCAAAGAUCAUGGAUGGAGUCAAUAAGUAGGCAAACCUGAGGAGAUUUUUCAGGCGUUGAAUAGCUAAUUGGCUUGCCAUUUUGUCUACUUUCUUUCCUGCAAAUUCAAGAAUCAAGACCUUAUUAGUUUACAUUGAAAUGUAUUAUAUGGGUUCUCCUUAAUCACGACGGCACAAAAAAAAAAAUGUAAAUAAGAAACUGAGAGAGUCCCAAGCGGUGGGAAAGAAGCCAAAAUUAACCCUGAACAAAGUUCAAAACAAAACAAGACCAGGCAAACCAUUUUUUUUCCCUUCUUGGCACCUAUAUUUAUUUUUGUUUUUUGAUUUUCUUUUAAUUUAUUCAACUCAAAGGCCAAAUAAAUAAGGAUUGUAUAUUUGAGUUGUUCCUUUAAGAAUUAACUAGGUUUUUAGUUUUAUAAGCUAUAUUGAAUCAAACUUGAAAUUCCGAGUGCAAGAGUUAAAUUUCUAUGAUCAGUAAUUUUAAUUUAUCUUCAAUUAAAUAAGAGUUUUCAUUGGAAGUACGUUUUUUUUUUUUUUUUUUUUUUUUUUUUUUUUUUUUUUGGAAAACCUCGACGGUACGAGGGUAAUUUUAUUGAUAACGAAAAAACAAGGUACACCUAGUCAGGGGGGGACAUAAACCUUACCCCUCCAAAAAACAGAGAUAACAAAAAGGAAUACACUAGAAAGAAGGGGGGACAUAAACCUUACCCUUCUAGAAACAAAAAAUGAGAAUGAUACAAAGAAAAGAGGGGGGGACAUGAAACCUAACCCCUCUAGAACCAAACAUGAAGGUCUAAACCUGCAAAACAAAUCAAACAACACCAUAAAGAUAGGAGAAAAAAAGGAAAGUGAGACAAACCUGGAUGCCGACAUGCACAUUAAUUUGAGAAGCGGUAACCAGGCAAGCCAACAUAGUCAGAAAACAGAGUAGCACGAACCGCCAUCGGAGGAGAAUCAUGCCAUGUUAAAGAUGGAGAAGACAAGCCCAUGUUAGCAAAAUUGUCCGCAACAAGAUUUCCUUCUCGAUAUAUGUGAGAUGCGUAGAAAGUCAUUUUCCGAAUGCGAUCCAAACAAAUAGACCAUUGCGUAUGAAGAGGCCAAGGAGGAUCAAAAUCAGAUGAUUGAAGAGCAGAAAUAACACUAGAACUAUCACUUUCCAACCAAAGACAGUGCCAACCCCGCUGAUAAGCAAACUCAAUACCAAUAAUAAUUGCUGAUAACUCUGCAAAAAAAGAGUUGCAAUGACCAAUCCGUUGACAGAAACCUCCGAGAAAACGACCAUGGCAAUUCCUGAAAACUCCUCCACAUGCAGCAGGACCGGGAUUUCCUUUAGACAAACCAUCUGUAUUAAGCUUAACCCAAGGAAACGAUCAUUGGAAGUACGUUAAUUAAACUGGUUUGAGCAUUAAGGAAAGAACUAGAACUAAUUAUCCAUAUAUGUAAAUUCUGCCAAAGUUCACAGUACUAAGCACGCGCAUACACACACAUAUGAUAAUAUAGUUUGAGUAGAAACAUAGAAAUUGAUAUUAAUCUCUUGCAUACCCGAAAUAAUCAGAACAUGAUUUAUUCUAUGCCCAAACAAAAACAUACACACACAACCGUACGUACGUUCAAGAUAUUUUCCAAACCUAGCAAUGGAACUAAAGGAGAUCAAAUUGCUUCACACAUGCACAAGCAACAAAUACAAAACGCAGGCACAUAUUUGCAGUGAGGGUUGGAGCUUCUAUUUAUACACCGAGUGAUAGAGACUAGCUCCUUUUUAUUUCUUUCUAUUUCAUUUUUGGGUUGAGACUAACUAUUUAAUCGACAUGUUUUAAUUACUCUCUGAAAUAUUGAUAUUGAUUGAUUGGACAACUAUGAAAGCAUUGGACCAUAUUUAAAUCGUGAUUCGUGACAAUAUAGUAAAAAACGAGAAGGAGCUCUCCACUCCUGGCUCCAAUACCAUAUCUUUAGCAGUUUUUUUUCUAUGAAUUCUUUUAAUAGGGUAAAAUGUAUAUUUUGUUGAGAUUUGACGAUGUGAGGAAAAGUUUGUCUCACAUCGAUGAGGGACAUGUUUUGUUAUGAGUUUAUAUGGUUUUGAACUACUUCUUAUAUGACCAAUUGGUUUUAUGGUGGAACUCUAAUUUUAUCAUGGUAUCAGAACAUAUUGUCCCUCGUGUGAAACCCUAAGGGUCACACGUGUUCAUGCGUCACCCAAUUGUUGUCCACGUGUAGGCUUGAAAAUCGGCCACAUGUGUCCGUGUUGAGAUUUGAUGAUGUGAGGAAAAAAUUGUCCCACAUCGGUGACGGACAUGUCUUGCUAUGAGUUUAUAUGGUCUUGGGUUACUCCUCGUAUGAUCAAUUGGUUUUAUGAUGAAACCCAAUUUCAUCAUAUUUAAGGUGGCGCCAUCCAAUUGUGAAUGUUUCCCAAUUUCUUGCUUUCUUUGUUACAUAUGAAUUAUAAGUUGCAUGUAGUACGUGAUUGAGAAAAAAAAGUUUGUGCAUGCGAAGAAGUUAGUAAUUAAUUAGUGAUUAUGUAGGUUUACUAGCAAGACAAAAUGCGUAACUAGCCGUCUUAGGAAAUUUUUUAAUCUUAAAACUCAUGAAUAUGCCCGCAAGAAAAACGCAUUUCUACUUCUUUAUAGUGGCACGUAAUGACAAUCAUACACUUAUAAUUUCCACUCCUACACACAAGCGCACAAGCUGACUCAUGAAUAUGCCCGCAAGAAAAACACAUUUCUACUUCUUUAGAGCAACUUCAGCGUGGGCUGGUGCUUGGGGGACGGGGGACGAAAUAGGGCUAGAUAGCUCGACCUUGAAGCGUCAGCAUGGGCAGCCCAAGGGAGAGUGGAGGCCCAAGCUCCGGGCAUGUGAGGAAUUGCCAGCCCGAGAGCCCGAGUGGAUGUGACGCUAGGGCUGACGUCAUCCUGGUGUUGGCCCAAUUUUAUAUUUUUUUCUGUCAGGCGCGUGCGACUCAUCCGCGUGUGGGGGCGUGUCCGCAGACAACUUUUCAGAGUAUGGGCUCGCGUUGUAGUCUACCGAUAUUACCGUUGGGAAGCCACGUGGCUUCCCACGGUCCGUUUGAUCUUAACGGCUCUUUAAAUUGAACCGUCUGAUUUGCAACGAUAAUAAAAAUAAAAAAAUCUUAUUUAAUAUCAACCGUUGGAUCUGAGUUCAAAUCCAACGGUUGAUAUUAUUCUGCUUUAUAAAUAAAUAAAUAAAUAAAAGAAAAAAUAGUUUUAAAAUUAAGAAAAGUUACCGUUGUGACAUGUGGCACAAUCUGGAGUGUUGGAAUUCAAUUUUUUUUUUCAAUCCAACUGUAGAGAUUAAUUAGUUCAAUAAAAAUUUAAAAAGAAUGUAAAAAAUCCGAAAAAAAAAACAUUCUCAUUAUCAUCUACCUUACAUCACAAUUUCAUAUUUUCUCAACUACUUUCAAUCAAAUUCCUAUCUUUCUCUCAAAGUUUCAAUCCAACUUUUUUCAACAAAAUGACUACUGAUGCAAGUACAAAUUGGUCACUUCUUGAAGAUGUUGCGUUGUGUACUAGCUGGGUUGAAGUUACUUAUAGUUUGCUUACGGGUAAUGAGAUGCAGUUGCUAGAAAUAUGGAGUCUUAUUCAUACCAAUUAUCUUGAAAAAAUGGGUGAGAAAAGAACCAAAGAAUCGAUGUCAAGUCGUUGGAAAUUACUUAGCCAAUCGUUUAGUACGUGGAGAGACGCAUUGGCACAAGCUAGUACUAAUCUUCGAAGUUGGGAAAAUUAUGCGGAUUAGGUAACAAUAUAUUAUUUAUUUGUUUGUACUAUACCCAAAUUUAUAUUAUAAUUAUUUAUUUGUAUUAUUUAUUUAUUACCUAUUUUCAUUUAUAAUUAUUUGUUUGUUUUAUCUAUUUGUUACCUACUUUCAUUAUAAUUAUUUGUUUGUAUUAUUUAUUUGUUACCUAGUUUCAUUAGAAUUAUUUGUUUGUAUUAUUUAUUUGUUAUCUACUUUCAUUAAAAUUAUUUGUUUGUAUUAUUUAUUUGUUACCUACUUUCAUUAUUUGUUUGUAUUAUUUAUUUGUUACCUACUUUCAUUAUAAUUAUUUGUUUGUAUUAUUUAUUUGUUACCUACUUUCAUUAAAAUUAUUUGUUUGUAUUAUUUAUUUGUUACCUACUUUCAUUAAAAUUAUUUGUUUGUAUUAUUUAUUUGUUACCUACUUUCAUUAUUUGUUUGUAUUAUUUAUUUGUUACCUACUUUCAUUAUAAUUAUUUGUUUGGGCCCAAAAAUACUGUUUUGGGCCGAGUUAGGUCUUUUUCGGCCCAGUGUGGGAUAGGCCGAGGUUAGACUCAUCCUCGGCCCAAAAGUUGUAAACAGGUGUCGUUAGAAGAUGUUCAACCCAUGGGCCGAGUGGUCGAAGUGGGCCAUAUCCUAUCGGAAAGAGGAAUAUGGAUGAAUCCUGUUGUGAGAGGGAGUCUCGACGGGAUCAGGAUGCUGAGAUUGAACACGGUUUGAUAAUGAGUUGUGUUCAAAGUCCUAGUAGGAAUAGGAUUGGUCGAGAUAAAGUUGGAUUAUGAUAAGGAGUUCUAAUCCAGGAUGAAUGAGAUUUAAUACAGGUUGACUGCUAUAUAUAGGGAGAGAAGACAUCGAAACAACCCCCUUCAAUUCAACACACAACUGCCCUACGCAAAUUCUCUCAACAACCUUGAAACUUUUUCCUUUUCUUUUUUCGCCGACACACCUUCAGUUUGGAGAAACAACACUGUGAAGGCAACCGGUGAUAUCUUCAGUCGGUAUAGAUAGCACUGUCACCGUAGAACCAGUCGGUUUCGCAGCAUCUUCAGUCGGCAUAGAUAGCACUGCGUCGAGGGUGACUGGUUAUCUAUCCAAGUCUCGGUCGAAAAAGAUUUCCGAAUCCUUAUUGGUUGAGGUCAUCUCAUUAGCUUUCUCGGCGAAGUGAGGUGUUACAGUUUAUUAGGCUCGGCACAUUGCAUGCCGAGUUAGUUUAUGAUUGGAUACUCUCAAGUGAGAUUUAGAGUUCGGUAUUCCGACGGCCGAACCACGUUUAUUGUUAAGACAUAUAUCCGCUUUGAGUAUUUGUGCCCUUACACUUUGGUGUCGAUUCGGCGUGAGUUUACUCUGACGAAUACCAUCACUGUGACCAAAUCCGACGACGAAGAUUUGUGAACUUCGUAAGAAUAGUAGCCUUGUCUUCAGGUUUGAGAACCCAAGAGGUCGAGACUUGUUCAUUCCUCGGUCGCAAUCGCAAGACGUAGAAGUCGGCCGCGCACUUAACACAACAUCAGCAUAUUUUACUCCUCGGGCGAGCUUGGCUGACGAGUUGGCACGCCCUGCAUUCAAUCGAAUGACGUAGUUAGCUCAUAGUUUACUCGGCAUGCGCGCCACGUAGGCUUGGUAGUUUUUAGGGUCAACAAUUAUUUAUUUUUUACCUACUUUCAUUAUAAUUAUUUCUUCUCCCACAUUAUGUAGCAACUUCAAGCACAAGCUUGGUAUGGUGCCAAAACUAAAAGCAAAAAUAAAUCAUUCAACCGGUGGGAAUGUUGGAAUAUUGUAAAAGAUUAUCCUAAAUUCAGAGUUGUGCCUGUCGGUCCAGAAGUUUUCAUGAACAACACUCAUCUACACUCUACACCUGAUCAUGGCUCGCAUGUUCAUGAAGAUGAUGCAGAAGAAGUGCCUAAAACGCCCUUCCUUGAACAAGCUUCGGGGUCGACCCGUUAUCCAAUUAGGCCUCAAGGUAAGAAGGCUUCAAAGAGAAAAGGGAGUACUUUCAAGAAUGAUUAUGCAAAGUAUAUGGAAGAACUUGCUCGCCAAGGUGAAUUGACUUUGGCACUAGAAAUGGUGAAAUUUGAGGCUAAUAAGGCUAAAGAUGAGGCAAAAGCUGCAGUUGUUGAGAGAAAAUUUCAAGCUAAUGAAAGGGAAAAAGAGCUACUUAGGCAAGAAAGGGUACUGGUUAGAGAAGAAAGAAUGACUUAACGAGAUCGUGACAUCAUGAACACGCCUUUACAAGGGAAGUCUCCAAAUUCUAAAUAUUUUUGGAAGUCAGAGAAAGAGGAUGUGGUGCGAAGAAGGCGUGCAAGAGAAGCAAGAGUAAGAGGAUAUGGUCCUAGCACGACAAGAGCAAAUCAUCCUAGCACCACAAAUUGAUUAAGUGAUAAUGAAUAGAGUACUUUUUGUAAUCGGAGCCCAUAAUUUUCCAAUCACUUUGGGUUGUAAUUUAUUAUUUAUUGAAUAGUGUACUUUAUGUUGUUUCCAAUUUAUUGAAUUUAACACUUUAUUUAUAGUGAGAGUAAAUUUAUUUAAUUUGGUAAGUUAUUUAUACUAUAUAAGAGAAUAUUUAUUCAAAUGACAAAAACACACCAAAUAAAAUUACAUAAACAUACCAAAUAAUUAAAAACUCACUAAAAAUGAACUAAAAAAAAACACACCAAAUAAUUAAAAAUGAACUAAAAAUGAACUAAAAAAACACACCAAAUAAAAUUAAAUAAACACACCAAAUAAAAACAAAUACACUAGAUGAACUUAUUUAUCUUCAACUUGUUUCAAUGCCCACUGGUGCUCUAUCAAGUCAUUUUGUCGGGCAUUGUGCAUAUAUGGCCUUUGAAGUGCAGUAUAUUGUUGAAUGACCAUUUCAUUGUAAUGUCCAUCCCUUUCUAAUGGCUCAUGUUGCAUGAAUUCUUCAAUGGCAUCAUGAGCAUAAUACAUACGUGUUCUUGACUUGUUCAUUGUGUUUGGCUCAUAUUCAUCAACGGCAUCAUAAUCGUACUCAUCCUCCACAAUCAUGUUGUGAAGAAUGAUGCACGUCAUCAUGAUGGAUCAAAGCGACUCUACAUCAAACAAUCUAGCAGCACCCCUGAUGAUCGCCCAAUGAGCUUGGAGGAUACCAAAACAACGCUCCACAUCCUUCAUGCACCCCUCUUGAUAGCUUGCAAAGUGUUUUUCCUUUGCACUUCGCAGACGUGGCACUAUUUUGGAAAAUGUUGACCACCUUGGGUAAAUGCCAUCUGCUAGGUAGUAUGGCCCAUCGUACAUACGUUCGUUGACGCAGUACGUGACUUUUGGUGCCUUUCCUUGCAGGACAUCGUUGAACACUAGGGUUUGGGCAAUGAUGUUGAGGUCAUUUUGAGGAUGGAUGAUGGAUUAUAUGGAUGAUUCAGAGGAUGGAUUAUAGGUGUGAGAUUUCAGAGGAUGGAUGAUGGAUUAUAUGGAGGAUUCAGAAAUGAUUAGGUUGUAGAUAGUGUCACGUGGCAUGCCAUCAUUCGUUAAAAAUAUGAUCGAAAUCUAUCUUAAAAGAUUUUGAAAAAGGUAAGGACAUGUGGCACGACGAGAUUGGAUAAAAAUCUUAUCGAAAUCCAUCAUCAAUAAUUGUCUUUUCGGGUAAUGACACGUGGCGCAACGAGAACGAUUAAAAAUCUAAUCGAAAUCUAUCCUCAAAGAUUCUAAAAAGGUAAGAACACAUGACAUGACGACAUUGGAUAAAAAUCUUAUCGAAAUCCAUCACAAAUAAUUGUCUUUUCGAAUAAUGACACGUGAUGCAACGAGAAUGAUUAAAAAUCUUAUUCGAAAUUACAAAUAAAAAAUUAUUUUGUAUUAUUUAAAAAAAAAUAUUUUAUUGCCUAUUGCCAGGGCUAUUCAAGUGCAACGGUGGAGAUGUAAAAAACAGUUACUGUUCAUUAAGGGCGGUUACUGUUCACAUGGUGGAUUGAAAAGUGAAUAGCCUGGGGGGAGGGCUCCCACGCUGGAGUUGCUCUUAUAGUGUUAUGUAUGGACAAUCAUACACUAUAAUUUCCAUUCCUACACGCAAGAGCACAAGCUGGCGGCAGGCUAGCUAACUGAGUACGUAACUCUGAGUAACGUUGUAUUAACCAUAUUUUUUCAGUAUUCGGAUUCUCGCCUGAUCCUCAUUGUGAUAUUCUUGAAAUCUGUUAAUUGCGUUUGUUUAUCGUAUAUAGUCCGAUCAAAAAUCAUUUUAAAUAUUUUAUUUAAAAUUAAGCACAAACAGUACCUGAUAAAAAUUGACCGCAUGAUGUACGAUGAAUGAUUACGAUUUACGGAUCCCCAGGAUCCUCACCAAAAGGAUCUAGCGAGGAUCCUGUUGGAUUUUUUCAUACUAUAUUUGCAUCGUAUUUAUAAUAGAGUAGGAGCCACCAACAUAUGUGGGUUCCAUCUCUAUUAGAAAGAUGUUACAAACAUGGUAAAAUAAGGAAAACUAAUGAAAAAAGCUUGAAAAUUUUAAGUUUUAACGAUAAAGACAAAAUAAAGGGUAAAGUAAAUAGUAUCAUAAUUGACUUUUUAGUGUAAAAAUAUGGUUUUUUUUUUAUUAAAGUAAACAAUACCGGGAGCUUUUCGUUAAAGUUUCUUAAAAAAUAUGAUAAGAGUAACAUUUUUGCAUUCAAAGUGUUGAUUUAAGAAAUUGAUGAAUUUUUCAGCUAUGAAAAGAAAUUUAAUAUGCAAAUUUUUUUGACAGUAGGCUUUUUCAUAGUACCAAUGACAUUGAAUGAAUCGUUAACCGGAAAAUUAAGAAAAUAAAAUAUAAUAUACGAGCGUAUGGUUUCAUUUUUAAUAAACACCGAUACAUUUUGUCAUAAAAUUCAAUACCUAGCAAUAAUUGAUUAAGUUAGGAAAAUAUCGGUAUAGUUAGGAGAGGUUCAUAUAUAUAUAUAUAUAUAUAUAUAUAGAGAGAGAGAGAGAGAGAGAGAGAGAGAGAGAGAGAGAGAGAGAGAGAGAGAGAGAGAGAGAGAGUUCUCAAAUUCCUUGCGAGAUUAUAUUCAAGAACUCUGGCUAAUACAAAUUCCUUGUGUCAUCCUCAGCUGAAUCAAAUGAAUACAUUGUCUCUUCUAAAGGAAGAAAUACAGUAAGAACCAAAUAAUAGUGUUACAGAACAAACUAAACAAUUAAUCUAUGACAUUACGCUGAAGACUAAGAAUACAUAUCCAUCAUCUUUUCGUUACAGUACCACAUAUCCGAAUCACUUCUAUCAAAUCUAUUUGAAUAGUUUAUCUUAUUAAAAAUUGCUAAAGAUGAGUUCAUAGGGUGUAUGGCUUCGUAGCAUAAUAUCUACUUUUUUCUUUGACAUAUAGGUCACACUUUCCCAUUCCACAUGAAACUGUUGUGUCAAUUCAAAUUUACCACAACAUUAAUGCUUGUUUCCAUAGCUGCAAAAGAAGUGUUUGAAAUGAAAAUAUGAGUUGAAGUGUAAAUUGUUUGUAGUAUUUAAAAUACAUACAUACAUUGCCAAAAAGUAAGAAAAAAAAAAGUCAUAUCCAAUUAGAUUGACCAGAAGCUCAAUCAAAGAUAAUAUCAAAUAUAAAACCCGUUACUUUGCAUUUCGUUGACAUUUGGAGUUGUUUAAAUUAGUUUUUGUUACCAAAAUCUAAACAAUAGAAAGAAGAACCUCUUCGAAGAAGAAUUUACAGUAACUACAACUAUAAUGCUUUUGUCUACAAUAAUAUUAACACAAUAAAUAAAAAAGAGUUCUCAAAUGUACAUAAUCUUUACUCUGUUUUUUCAAAUUCUAAAGCAUGAUAUGGUAUCUACCAAAUGGAAAUAAUAAAGGGAAGAAGAACCUUAAGAGUAUAUGAAUGGACAAUCUUUUCCUAUAUGGAGGAGGAAUUAAACUCAAUUAACCGAAAGGAAAAAAAAAACAAAAGCUAAAAGUGGAUGAUCCUGCAAUUGAAAAACCCAAAUGUGCAGUAAAAACAACCAAGAGAAAACAGAAGCUAAAAGAAAUCACAUUAAAAAAAAAUCAAUUGAAAUGAAGCAAUCACACUUGAUCGACCAUAAAGUGACGUACAAAUGCCAAUUGCCAAUUGCCAAAAAAAAUAAGAAACCAUUUUGAAAUUAAGCAGACAUUGUUGUAAUAAGAAAAAACCUCAAAUGUGCAGUAUAAUUGAAAUUAACUCCAUUUGGAGGGAAUUAAAGAAUGCUAGAACCACAAUAACUUCAUAUUACAUUAAACAUUUUGGCUAAUAUGUUAUAAGCACAACCAACUCAUCCAUAUUAAGAAGCCAACAAAAAUAGAAACCAACUUGUGAACGAAAGGAAAGAUGUGAACAGAAAAUAAAUUCAACAAAACUGGAAAAAUGAAGAGAAGAAAUUCCACUUAAGAAAGGUGGUCAGGGAAAAAAACAAAAAUGAAUCAAAAGUAGAAGAAAUUCCACGACCGACCUGCGUAUUUAUCCUAUACAACAGUCGUUGUCAAACUCUUCAGUCGAAGCUCUACACAUUGCUUAUAUCUGUGAGCAAGAUUUUAAAAAACGUUAGGUACUAGUCGGGCGGCGGGCUAGCGCCUAGCGCCUAAGCAGUUAGACGGGGUCUAGGAGAGCACAUAGGUGGAUUUAGGUAAAUUUCAUGUAUAUCUUGUAGACAAGUGCAUAUUAACACUUACAAAAAAUUAUACUUGUAUAUUAUACUUGUAUGAAAUCAAUGGAUAAGAUGAUAAAAGAAUAAUAAAAUGCAAAAAGAGUAUCCAACAAGUUCAAAAUUUAAAAACACAUUAAGCAUAUAUGCCACAUAAUCAUUGUGAGGAGUAUUGUAGAAUGACACAUGUACAAUAAGUUCAUAAUUUAAAACCACAUAAAAUGCAAAAUAGGAGGAAAAUAAGGAAAUAUAGUAAUGUAGAUAGAUAAGAUUUUUUUUUAUUUUUUAAUUUCAAAAAAAAAAAAAACUGCCUAGCCACCUAGCAUCACCUAGCCCGCCUAAAGCCCAACCGAUUUUUCCAACCGAUUUGCAAGAAAACGCCUCGGGUCACCACCGGCUAGCGCCGUUUUUAGAACAUUGUCUGUGAGAUGAAUACGACAAACAUUUGAGGUUGAAUUAGUGAAUUUCAAAUACACUGGAAAAGAGAAUGCAAACCACAUCUUGAUGAACAAAAUUAGAGAAAAUGGCGAAUAAAAAACAGAAAGGGAAAUCGAUUAGGUACUCAUAAUUAAAGAAAGAUUAGAAAUUUCAUUAAAAUAAAAAGAAGAAUUGAAAGCAAAAUCAAAUGUAGAAGAAAAUUCCAUUAAUUGAUACAACAUUCACGAUUUGUCCAGAUUCUUACAGCCUUACAUGAAGCUUUGCACUGUGCAAUUUUUUUACCUGAAGCAGCAAAAGGCCCACUCCUCACAUCAUGAUCUGCCACAAUUUAAAGAAGUCGAAGUAGUAGAAAGUCUUUGGCAUAACAAAACUGAAAGCAUAAAGCAUAAACCCAAUAAGAGUCAUAAACUAAUGAAGAAAGAAUUUGAAAAUUUUCAUACUACUAACCCUGUUAAAGGAAAGUAUAUUUGGUUAAACAUGAUUGUAGGGAUUGUAAAUAGUCAAUGAUCUGGUUAGAGCUAUCAUAGGACCAGAUUGCAAUCAACUUGUAAUUAGAGAUUGGUUACCUAGAAUAGGCUGCAUCUGACUGUAUAAAGCUUGUAUCCUUGUAUGAAUGAAUAUACUGAAAAAUAAACCAUUCAGCAAACACUUCAAUUUUCACAUGGCAUCAAAGCACCGAUCCUGGUGACUCUAGGCGUCCAUUCCACUUCCGCUACAAACACAGCCCAAAAUUUUCCCAACACACACAACCAACAUGGCUGAUGAAAAACCAGCAGAGAUAGUGCCACAUGCAUCCGACCCUCUCAUCCUACACCACUCAGAUUCACCAAGUCUCGUCUUGGUUUCACAACUCCUCGACGGACACAACUACGGACAAUGGAGCCGCUCUAUGCGCAUCGCUCUCAGUGCCAAGAACAAACUUGGGUUCAUUGAUGGAUCAAUCAAGUGCCUUGCAAUUACCGACGCCAAAUUUUCAAUUUGGCAGAGAUGCAACGACAUGGUCUUGUCAUGGAUUUGGUAGUCUGUGCAAGGCAACAUCGGACGCAGCAUACUCUACUGCAAAUCUGCAUCUGCAACGUGGAAGGAUCUUGAGGAUUGAUUAUCGCAAGGAAACGAUUCCAGGAUCUACCAAAUUCGACAGGAAAUCGUCGAACACCGACAAGGACAACCAUCCGUUUGAGACUAUUACACCCAGUUAAGGGCUUUUUGGGAUGAAUUGGCUUCGUAUUAUGAACCAAUUGCUUGCGAUUGUGAGGGAUCCAAGACUCGUGUAGCAAGGGAGGAAACAGAGAAAGUCAUGCAAUUUUUAAUGGGCUUGAACGAGACUUACUCAACCAUACGAGGCUCCAUCUUAAUGAUGAAUCUGCUCCCUAAUACGAGACGUGUCUAUAGGUUGGUUCUGCAACACGAGCGCCAAAUGGAUGUGGCAAAUCAUCAUGAACCUGCUGCCCACGUGAUGCAUACACAUCGGUCCACCACGCCAAAGGGAGGAUCUGCACCUGGUAGUUCCAGUUCACGCAAAGCAUCCAAAUGCAGCUACUGUGAUGGCUCACAUUCCGAGGAGCACUGCUACUUUCUUAUUGGGUUCCCCGAAGGACAUAAGUGGCAUGGGAAACAUGUACUGCCCAGAAACAAACGCCAAAAUCCGACAGCCCACAAUGUCGAAACACCUCAAUCACAAACCACCCAUACAGACGCAACCAAGGCCACAUCUUCCAAUGGCCCAACGUUCACAACCGAAGAGUACCAUCAACUUCUUACCUUGCUUCGCUCUGGAAACGGUAAAAUUACACCACUUGCGAAUGCAACAGGUAUUGUCACACCCAUAUGUAAUAUGACGGAACAUGACUUGCAUUCAACCCUUUACUGGAUUAUAGACAGCGGGGCAUCUGAUCACAUAUCACAUUCACCAUUAACACAUAAUCAGAUUGAUGUUGAAAAUGAUUUUGUGGGAUUACCAAAUGGGGGAACAGCAGACAUUAAGAGCAUUGGAUCCGUAAAACUAUCACAUGAGUUAUUACUUGAUGGAGUUCUACAUGUUCCAAUAUUCCGUGUCAAUUUAUUGUCUGUGAGUAAACUCACACGGGCUCUACAAUGUAUCGUAAUAUUCUUUCCGGAUUUUUAUGUUAUACAGGACAUGGAUACGAAGAGGACGAUUAGCUUAGGCAAGCAAUUUAAUGGGCUCUAUUACCUUACGCCAAGUCAAAAUCCCCAUCUUACCAACCAUGUUAGCCGCACCACCAGUCUCUGGCAUCAACGCUUGGGCUACCCCUCUACACACCCUUUACAUUUUUUGUCAAAAACAUUCCAGAAAUAAUGUUCGAUUCCAAACAUGUUUGUGAAGUUUGCCAUUUGGCAAAACAAACUCGAUUGUCUUUUACUUCUAGUUCAAUUCAAUCCACUGCACCUUUCGACUUAAUUCAUUGUGACAUUUGGGGGCCUCACAAAGUUCCCACACAUUCCGGGACACGUUAUUUUCUCACCAUCGUGGAUGAUUUACUCAUUUUACAUGGGUGCAUCUUAUGCGUUUUAAAUCCGAUACACAAACACUAUUGACAUCAUUCUUCUCUUGGGUCAAAACUCAAUUUCACAAAAACAUCAAAAUUCUACGAGCUGACAAUGGUGGAGAGUUCCUCUCCAUGCGCACUGUUUUAGACACCCAUGGCACCAUUUUUCAGCAUUCAUGCGUUCACACCCCUCAACAAAACGGGGUUGUUGAACGUAAACAUCGACAUCUUUUGAAUAUUGGGGGUGCACUUCGUUUCCAAGCCAAUUUACCAUUAAAAUUUUGGGGAGAUAGUGUUCAAACCGCAUGCUAUCUCAUCAACCACAUUCCCACACCAUUAUUAUCCCAUAAAUCUCCCUACGAAUUUUUACAUGGUCACUUGCCCAAUUACUCUCACCUUCGCGUGUUCAGAUGUCUUUGUUAUGCCACCAACCUUCACCCAAAACACAAGUUUGACACUCGUGCUCGCCGUUGUCUUUUCCUUGGAUAUCCUCUUGGUCAGAAAGGUUAUCGUGUUUAUGACCUCGACACGCAUACCAUCUCCACUUCCCGUGAUGUCCACUUCCAUGAAACAAUUUUUCACUUUGCCCAUUCACCACCUGAACAUGAGGAUGACUCCCUCGUUCUUCCACUUAUUUUUCCAGACUCAUUACCCACUCUGCCCAGUACACCAUCUCCCGACCCACACCAUCCUAGCCCAAACCCAGAUGCCUUGAACCACAACACUACCCAACCUCCCACUUUCCCAUCCCCAAUUCCCGACAACACUCCCCAAUUCCAGACAACUUUCCCAUCCCCACCAGAGACCGCUCCGAUCUCACCCACUACUGCCACCCAUUCUCUCGCCUUACCUGACCCCCCACCUGCACCGUCUCCACAACCUCCCAUUCGACACUCUUCUCGCCUGACCCGACCCCAUGCCUAUCUCAAAGAUUAUGUGGCCCAUCAUGCUGCUUUGUUUGCGCCUGGCGUCGCCUCUUCCUCCGUGUCCAGCACCCGUCAUCCAUUCCACCGGUAUGUCUUUUAUGCCUCCUUAUCUCCUACUCAUCAAACUUUCAUCCAUAAUGUUUCUUCUCAGAUGGAACCCACAUCCUAUGACCAAGCCCGCCAUGACCCUAACUGGGUCGCUGCUAUGAACACUGAACUCCGAGCUCUCGAAGACAAUCAGAUAUGGAGCAUGGUCUCUUUGCCUGCUGGUCAUCAUGCCAUUGGAUGCAAGUGGGUUUUCAAAAUCAAAUACAAUUCGGAUGGUACAAUUGAGCGGUACAAAGCCCGACUCGUUACCAAUGGUUUUACUCAACGCGAGGGGAUCGAUUACAAGGAAACUUUUGCCCCUGUUGCUAAGCUGAUCACUGUGCGAUGCUUAUUGACUGUUGCUGCUGUUCGUCAUUGGUCCUUACAUCAGAUGGAUGUGCAGAACGCAUUCCUUCGCGAUGAACUUCACAAAGAAGUGUAUAUGUUGCCUCCUCCUGGUUACCGUUGAUAGGGGGAGCGUGUUGUAUGUCAACUCCAAAAGUCUUUGUACGGACUUAAGCAAGCGUCCCGCAGUUGGUUUCAGAAAUUUUCCUCUGCCAUCCAUGACAUUGGAUUCACACAAUCUCGGGCUGAUUAUUCCUUGUUUACCAAGGUCUCUGGCAGCUCCAUUACCAUUGUUUUAUUAUAUGUUGAUGACAUGGUUAUUACAGGAAAUAAUGAUAGAGCAAUCAAUGAUCUCAAGCAAUUCCUUAGCCGCUGCUUUCGAAUUAAAGACCUUGGACCCCUAAAGUACUUUCUUGGAGUUGAAGUCGCACGGUCCAAAGCUAGCAUUACCAUCAAUCAGCGCAAGUACACACUUGACAUACUGGAAAAGGCGGGUUUACUUGGUGCGAAGCCAUCACAGGUCCCAAUGGAACCUGACUUAGUGCUACAACCCACUGGUAGUGAUCCUCUCAAAGAUCCUACGCAAUACCGACGAAUGUUUGGGAAAUUAAUAUACUUGACAAUCACAAGACCGGAGAUCAUAUAUGCGGUCAACACCCUGAGUCAAUUUAUGCAGGAACCUAGGCGACAUCAUCUUGACGCAGCACAUAGACUUCUUCGAUACCUUAAAAAUGCUCCUGGACAAGGUUUGUUGUUUUCUUCUCAAAGUAAGCUAAACUUGAUUGGCUAUUGUGAUGCGGAUUAGGCACGUUGUCCGAUUACUCGCCGUUCAGUUACAGAUUAUUGCAUUUUUCUGGGCAACUCACUCAUAUCUUGGAAGAGCAAGAAACAGGUCACGGUAGCACGAUCAUCUGCCGAAGCAGAGUACCGUUCCAUGGCUGCAGCAACUUGUGAACUCACGUGGUUGAGAUACUUAUUGAAGGAUUUGCAAAUACCCCAUCCUGGUUCGGCGAAGCUGUUUUGUGAUAAUCAAGCUGCGUUACACGUAGCAGUGAAUCAUGUGAUCCACGAGCACACCAAACACAUUGAGCUUGAUUGCCACACCAUUCGUGAGAGGAUUCAAAGAGGAGAAAUCAAGACAGCCUAUGUACACACUGGGGAACAAGUGGCUGACAUGUUUACUAAGCCACUAUGAACACCUGCUUUCCAUUUACAUCUCCGCAAGUUAGGCGUUCUUGACAUCCACACUCCAACUUGAGGGAGAGUGUUAAAGGAAAGUAUAUUUGGUUAAACAUGAUUGUAGGGAUUGUAAAUAGUCAAUGAUCUGGUUAGAGCUAUCAUAGGACCAGAUUGCAAUCAACUUGUAAUUAGAGAUUGGUUACCUAGAAUAGGCUGCAUCUGACUGUAUAAAGCUUGUAUCCUUGUAUGAAUGAAUAUACUGAAAAAUAAACCAUUCAGCGAACACUUCAAUUUUCACACUACAAUAUUGUCUCGCCCAGACAACACACAUCACAUCUAUCUCCACCGCCUGCACCGGUACCAAUGAUUUGAAACCUAAUGGAAAAAGCACGACAAAUAAUUGGAAAAUGGAUUAAUAUAAACAAAAACUCCCCAGAACCAACAGUUUCCUUGUAAGCAUAAGAACCUCACCAACGGGCUUCAUUGGAAUGUAACGAAUGCAGAGGGAAACAUAAAAACACUUACAUGGAGAAGAAACAAAUCCAAGUUUUUCACUCAAAAGAAAAUAACCAACAAUCAUACAUGAAAAUAGAAGGAAAAAUGAAUUUGGUUAAGGGUGGACAACAUCUGGAAAAGAAUGCAAAGAUCAUGGAGAAUCCGAGAUUGAAAAUUACCUGCGAUAAGAAUCAGUCAAUGUAGAGGAAGAGUCUUUGUCAAUAUAUCUAUCUGUCUGUUUCUCCCUCCCCCUCGUUGUCUUCUCCUUGAUUUCUGCACGACUACAAAUAAACUGCCAACAUUAAUAUGAAACUAAACUUACCCAAUGAAAUUUGAACACAAUGGAUUACUUCUCCAGUAAAGUUCAUUUCCAAUUCCUACUGCUUUGAGAGGAUUUUUCUAAAAAUUUGGAAUCUCUAAUAACUGAAGAAUCGCACUAUGCAAAACCCAAGUCGUUUAUUAGGACGAAGAAUCGCAAAAGCCCCGGAAUUUGAAAUCUCAUACUUCAUUUGUGGUUUUUUCUAAUUGAAAACCCAACAAUAAUAAUCCAAUCGAAAUUGAUUGUAAAGACAAAAAGCGAAGGAAUUUAGGAAAAAACACCUGAAAUCUUGUCAAAAUCAAGUGUGGAUGUCGACAGAAAUUUGGAAUAACAUGAAGAGGGGUCUGUGCGGAAGACGAAAGUGGGUUCGUUUCUUCCGAUGUAUGACAUGUUGUUCACUGUAGAACGUGUAGUAGAUGGCGGUUCCAUUCCAUCUCCUCUGGUGUUUACAACCGCUGCGGUUAGAUAUGGUGUUCGAGAGUUCUACCGAGUUUUUAUUUAUUUUUUAUUUUUUAUUUUACGUUUAUUUCUCUCGGAAAGAUAGGACACAAUGUAGUAUUUGUGGGAGGAUUAAUCCAAGGGUCAAAAUGAAUUUGAAGUGCAAGUAUUUUCAUCCGUCGGUUGUCAAUUGUUAUAGUUAAGAUGGGUGUUUUUUAAAUUUGCUUUUUUUAGUAAAACAAUUUUGUACUCUGUUAUGUUUUUUUCCAGUUUAUCCUCAUUUUUUGAAAUGUUUUGGGCUUGGUUGUGAAGAAAACAAAGGGGCUUUCUUGGCAUUUUGAAAUGCUUCACCUAUUUGGCCUUCUCCCUUUAUAUACACUAGCCUCUCCGCAUGUACUAACGUGCGUGCAAGAGGCAUUUUUACAUUACAGGCGCUACGCAUCCCUAAAGGUGUAUUGCGUUAGUUUUUCCCAUCGUAAUUGUCAAGAUAUAUUUUAAAUGUAUUAUGCAAAGAGAAACUCUUUUUUUUAUCAUGCAUAUUCUAAAAAGAGUAAUAUAUGUAACUCGUUUUUACUUUGCGUAAAGUAAUGAUUUAAAUGUUAUUCAUGCACUUGUCAAACAACAUGGGAUUUUAGACGCAAGUUCCUACCUAAAGUAGAAGUAAAUAAAAAAAAGAGUAGAUGAAAACAUUAAGUACUCGUAGCAAAAUACAAAACAACUUAAAUGUCAAAAUAUAAAUCCUGCAUAACAAUAUGUACAUUAUUCACAAUACCCAUAGAGUCUAUAUAUCACUGUUUCUUUUGAAAAGAAAGUUUACAUUUUGAUAUCAAUGCUACAAUUUCCACACAUUUGUUCAUGAUUGAUGCUUCAAAUUUUCAUUGCCAAUCUACAAAUGAUAGUGAGAAAAUUAAAAAUCAAAUAAAAAAAGUUAAUUGAUAAGUGAGAAAUGCAUAUUGAAAGGUUAUCGUUAAUAAAGUUGUUACCUAUUAAAAAUCACCAUAAUUAGCUGGAAAGAAGCAAGACUUCUUUGUAUACUACAUUCUGUGUAAAUACACAUUGUUGGCCGAUUAUGGAGCCAUUUUUUACUAACAUGGUUGUGGUUGACUUUGAGACCCCCCUCGAUAAGGCCACAUAUCAUUGUUCAUGACUGAAGACGUGAUCUGGAAGGUAAACGCCUACAUGUGGUAUUGUCUGACCUUGAGAUUUGUUUAUAGUGAUAGAGAAACUUAGUUUCACUAGAAACUGCUUUCUUGUAAGUUCAAAUGGAAGCCCAGCAGUAUCAAUACUUUUGAGAGGGAUUCUUGAUAAGAAAACUCUGGAUCCGGCAAAUUGUCCAGUUAGAAUUUCAACAUCUAUAAGAUUUUGGUAAGAACCAUGACACAAUAAUCUUGUACCAUUACACAAUCCCAAUGAUUGUGUAAAAGCAUCAAAAGUUUUGUUAGUAACAUGAAUUGUAUGUGUUUUCUAAAACUCAGAUUUACGAAAAUUGAAAGAGAACGAAAAGUUAAAAUAUAAAUUAGUAAAAGAAAAACAUAUAUGAAACAAAACAGGUAAUCAUGGAGUUGAUGAUUCUAAAAAUGAAAGAAAUGAACCUGGAGAUGCAGAUGAAAACAUAUAAUCAUUCAGUUCAAAAUAUUACAAUUUUGAGUCAUCAAAGAAACAAAGUGAAAUAGCACAUUGCCAUUUCGGUUCUUUGAUUAAGUGUAAUAUUCGGCUUCUCAAGUAUCUUACAACUAAGCAAAAAAAAUGCGCUUCCUAGUUUCACAAACUAAAAUGCAUCUAAUAACUUAUCAUAAAGGAUGAAGUAGCAACCUGAUCAAAUAGAAUGAUCGGCAAAACUCGGGAUUGAAGAAUCUUUAAUUAUUUUGAAUACUUGGUGAAGUUCCUCCACAUGAACCCCAUGAAGAAAAACUACAGGCUGCAAGAUAAGAUUCAAACCAUAUUAUAUAAAAAAACCAGUAAAAAAUUCCCAACAUUUGACUCAAAAUUGAAAGGAAAAAAGAUGAAAUUCUAUGCAUUUAGCAGAUAAUUGAUAAAUCAAACUCUGCAACUGAAACGUUGACAAUGGCUUCAAAAUUAACUGAAUAUCUAAAACAACUUGUAAUCCUAAUUAUAUGGAAGAGGGUAGAGAAAAGCUAAGUGCUUCAACCCCAGGUUAUGAUGCUUUGCAGACAACUUACAUCAACCUUUGAAUUUCUUCCUCAAUUAGCUAGCUCUUGAAUGCACCAAUAACAUAUGCAAUUGGAACUUGGAUUACAUAGCUCUCAAUUCCAUUGACUUCAUCUAUUAAUUUUUAGAGGGUUACCUAUAGUUUUUUCAAUGACAAUGACAUGGUUUACGCAUGAACAUGGUUUUUUCUUAUUUGUUUAUCUAUUUCACACUUGAAUCAAUAAAAUUUUGCUAGUGCAAUCAUACGGCAUUCACAACGAUCAUACUAUUGAUUUGUAAUUUCUCUGAUAAUUACAUCCCCGAUCAAGCAGGCUAACUGUCAAGCGUAAUUAAAAAAGUAGCAACAGCCCUAAUAAAAAAAAUAAUUCAAACUCAUCAAACUAUCGAGUUACAUACCUUGCAUCGGAAUCUAGCGUAAAAUUUACCUUUCUAGCAAUAACGAAAUAACUCAGUUAUCAAAUGCAGGACACACUAAAAUGCAUCUAAUAACUUAUCAUAAAGGGUGAAGUAGCAACCUGAUCAAACAGAAUGAUCGGUAAAACUCGGGAUUGAAGAAUCUUUGAUUACUUUGAAUACUUGGUGAAGUUCCUCCUCCUGAACCCCAUGAAGAAAAACAACAGGCUGCAAGAUAAGAUUCAAAACAUAUUAAAUAAAAAACCAGUAAAAAAUUCCCAACCCAACACUGUUAUUAUGGUAAUUUCAACGCAAGCCGCCUUCUCUAGCAGAGUUCAUUUCCAAAUCCCUACGACUUCGAGAGGAUUUAAAAAUUUUGGAAUCUAUAUAAUGAAUAAGCUUGAAGAAAAGCUUCAAAUUUAUAAAAAAAAAACUUUGAAUUCGAACAAAAAAUGCAAAAACUAAGUCGUUUAUUAAGAAGAAGAAUCGCAACUCACAUGGCUGUGGGGAUUUCCAGACAGGUUCCAAUAGAUUGAGUGGAUAUUCGAAACCUUAAGAAACAGGAAACUGUACAGCUCAAUAGUCGGGUAAAGGCUAUGGUUCACCCUGAAAAAUCUUUCUUCGAUUCUAUCGAAUCGCUAGAUAGUUUGGGCUCGCUCUCAAAGGCCACACUUUGCCCGCGCAAAACUAAAUUCCAAAAUUCCUCUUCCCUGCAUUCAGAAACACAUCAUCAAUUAAUUAGAAUUGAAUAUGAACGCAAAUCUAAUUCUGCUUCAUCAAAGCAAAUAAUUCAUACACAAUUGAAAAAUGUGUAUAAAUGGGAAGAGAACGGAAAUUGAAAAUAUGAUCAGAAAUGAAUGAUCGAUGAGAAACAGUUAAUUAAUGGCAAUGAAUUUGAUUUGAAAAGAGACUAAUAAACAUACUGGUAAAGAAGCCGCACUUGUCGUUUAUGGCGAGUGAAAGGUUGUUUCAAGAAGCUGCAGUUGUUGAUCACGGCGAGUAGAGUCAAGUUUGAAAGUUUGAACAAACGUUGGAAGGAAUACAUAGAAAAUUGAGAAUCACGUUUGAAAGUUACCUGCGAUAAGAAUCAAUCGAUGUAGAGGAAGAGUCUUUGUCAAUAUGCAUCUUUAUUUCUCCCUCCCCUUGUUCUCUGUAGAGGAAGAGUCUUUGUCAAUCUGGUUUGUAGUUUGCAGAACGUGGAGGGUGGUUGAAUCCCACGUUGCGGUUCUAAUUCUUCAUUCGGCAAAACUCUACAGUUAUGAUGCUUUAUCUUUUUUCAGUGAUGGUUUUUUACCAGCUUGUCGUAUUAGUUUAACCAUCAGAAUUCAAUUCACACAUUACCCAUAUUUUCAAUGUACAAUCUGCUUACAAAUCAUUACCAAAUACAGUAAAACAGAAACUGGUAAUUGGGUAAUUUUAGUAACUCCUAUAAAUUCUGACCAAUUGCAGAAGUAAUUUUAUAGAAACCAAAUUCCCAGCUAUAGCCUCAAAUGUCUCUCAUUGCAUGCAGCUGACUACCACUGACUCAAAUCACAUAAAUAAAAGAAAUGGAAUCCAGAAAAACCCAUAUGACAACAAUUAAGUUUAAAUAAUAUAAGCAGUGUGGUCGAUUAAGCACUAAUCACUGAGCAAUUUUGAACGCCCAGCAGUCCCAUCCUACGCCAUCAAUGAUUCGAAUUUCCUUAUUAAAUUAUAUAGAAUAAUAAACAAAACAAACGGAAAAGCAAAUUCAUGUGGGUAAUAUUACUUAAUUGGAGGGUAGAAAUUAUGAAAAAAAAAAUCACCUGAAUUUGUGUAAAUUGAGUGUGGAUGCAGAAGAAACUCUGGAAAAACAUGCGGAUGAGAGGUUUGUGCAGAAGACGAAAGUGAGUUCUUCCUCUUUUCUGUGCAUUUGGGGUUAGAAUGAUCGUUGUCCCCUCUAGAACGUGUGGUAGAUUGGCGGUCCUAUCUUCGAUCUUUGCAACUGUUGCAACCGGUGUUCUGUUUUGUGCGACAACGUGUUUGACAGUUCUCCUCUAAUUUGGAGGGAGUGUUUGUCAGUUUUUAUCAAUUUACUUGUUAUUUUGGUUUUGGUGGAAAGAUAGAAUGUGAUGCAGUAUUUGUGGGAGGAUUGAUCUAAGGGUCACAAUGAAUUUCAAGUGUGUAUAUUUUUAUCUAAUGGUUGAAAAUUGUAAUUGUUUAGAUGAGUGCAUAUAUUAUUCGCACAGUAGAAUUUCAUUGUAUUAUAUUACAAUUUUGACUUUAUAUUUAUUGGACAGUUAUCCGUUACUCUUAAGUAUGGACUAAGGAUAUUUUUGGCAUUUUGAAUGUAUAGAUAGAUAGAUAAAGAUCAACGACUGGGUAAAAAUCAGGAAGUGCAUGUGCCCAUUGAAGCUUUUUCUUAUUUUCUUAGGUGAAAUGGAUUUUUUUUCCAGUUUUAUUAUCACAUAUAGGCCGUAUCUCGUAUUUUGUAGGUGAAAAAACUCAUUCUAUUUCAUUAUCCUACAUCACGUGUGAAAUGAGUUCAUUCCUACUUACAUGCGCACUCUUGCAUUUAGGCACUUUUAAGCUUAAAUUCAUUCAUAUUUUCCACCUCAUCACACUUUAUAGGUUCGUCACCUUUCAGAUGCUGGCCAGCACAGCUCGAUUUGGAGUCCAGAUAGACAUUCCGGGUCAGGGUGUGUCAAUUUGAAUAUUAAAAAAUAAGGAAUGUAUUUGAAUAUUUUGAUUCAAUCUGAAACUUGCCUAAAUCUAUUACAUACACUUAAUUAUAUACUUGGUUUUAUUUUAGGAAAAUUUUAUUUGAACUCAUACAACUUCUAACUACAUCCAACUUACUCUGUACGCCCAUAUUAGUUUUAAUUCAAGAAUCAAUAUAUUUUAAAUCCAAAUUUACUAACUACAAUACCCUCACGAACUCAAUUUAAUAUGUAAAUUUGACUUUACACCUAUUUGAAAAAUAAAACCCAAAAUUAAACAUUUGUUGUGUAGGUCAUUAAAGUUAGAAUAUUAAAUUGUAAUUCCUCGAGACAAACCAAAUAUUGAGCCUUAUACAUUUGGAAAGAUCUAGAUGUCUAGUUUAUGGAGAAUUUUAUGGUUUGUGAUUCCGAUUUUUGUAGGAGAUGUUAUUACUAUUUUAGUGCAGACAUCACAAAAUCAAAGAUUUGCUAUGCAGAUCAGGAUAGAGCAUAUUAAUUAUGAGAGUAGAAGCUAUUAUAUAUACACAACAUAAUCCUUGCCUAAUCCUAUUAGGAUUCCCUUAUUAGAAUCCAUAUAGAAAACUAAUUCCUUCCAAAUAGCAGUUUAGUAUAAUAUGGAUUACAAAUCCAUUCCCAAUAAGUUCCCAUUUAAACUCUAAUCCUAUAACCAAGUUCACAAAUUCAUACUUAUGCUCAUUUUCUUACAAGUAAUUCCACAGACCGUGAUCCACCAUAAUCAAAUUUAAUCAAACACUAUGCUAAAUAUAUUAUACACCAAUAAAAAUGAAUUCUACUUCAGAUGAGGACCAAGAAUUUCUCCAAUGGCUAAAACGAAUUUAAUUUAGAAGUAAAAGAUGCAAUUUAAAGGAACAUACACUUAUUUUUCUUUAUGAGAGCUCUUAGGAUUUUAGUCAGGAUGAAUGUAAGAUAAAGAUUGGUGAUGGUGGGAUUUGAUUAUUGGAUAUAUGUUUAUUGAUUUUUUUUUUUUUUGUUAAUUUCAUCAUGUACAUGAUGGUAAUUAUGCAACAAGAUAAAAAAUACAAUUCACAUUUAAAAUUUAAGUUGAGUGUACAAAGAAGUUAAAAUAGGUUCAACUAAAAUUUUCCUUUAUUUUAUAUAUGUUUCAUUUGUUAGUUGUUAUAGAUAAGACUCAAUGAUUCUAACUUUUUUACAAUUGUAUCUCCCUUAAAUAUAUUACAUACAAAAGAGAGAACUAAAGACAUAUAUUAUGUUUGGACACAACCCACAACAAAAGCUGGCUUUCCAAAAGAUAUGUUUGAAAGUUACUUCCUCAACGAAAGAAAUAUACGAGGCCGAAUAUUUUUGAGAAAAGCAAUGAGUUCAUGGUUGUUGAAUCUACGGUCAAGAGACUCUUACAAUGGUGCUAUUACUUGUAAUAAAAGAAGGAAUGCUACAAUAUAUAUAUAUAUAUACUUUGAUCUAAUGAAAAUAUAAAAUAGUCCAUAAUGAUUUUUUUUUUGUUGGUUAAAAUCAUAUAUGUUGUUAAUCACCAAAUCAAUUGAUCUCCUAAGACCAUCUCAAAUGGUGGGCUAAAAUCUAAAAUUUCUCUUCCCCCCCCCCCUCCAAAAUUCACUCCAACUCAUGACCUAAAAUUAACCUAAAACCUAAAACCCAAAUGGAGGGCAAAUACUGGCCCAAUUUUAGGCCACAAAACAAAAUGGACCCCACCAACUGAGACUGAAACCAGGGCUGUGAAGUCCAUUGCCCACUCCCUACUCGCCUAUGCGUUGCACACGCUAGGCUUUCUCAAAAUUUUGUACCAACCCACGUGGGGUUGUUCCCCCACUGUCAAACCAUCAAGUAGCCGUUGGGCUACUUUUCUUCAUCCAACGGUUCCAUUUAAAUGGGCCAUUGGUUAAUCCAACGGUCCAAGUUCAAAUUUUUUUUUAGUUUUAUAUUUAUUGAAUCCAACGGCUUAGAUCGAAUAUAAUCAAAUCUAACGGUAAAAAAAAGAUCUAAGUUUAUGUGGUUUAUUAAAUGUCGUUUGUAUUAAGUUUAUGUGGUUUAUCAUGAUUUUCGUGAUUGAUUUAUUGAUUUUUCAAAAUGUAUCGGAAUUUAAAUAUUUUUAGGUUAAAAUGUUCAUAUAAUUAAUUUAGGAUAGUCUACAUAAUUUUUUUAAAAAGUUAAUUUAAAAAAAAAUAGCCUUAAUUCAUUCUUUGAUAAUCUCGGACUAAAAUUUUAGGCCAGAAGGGCUGGAGCAUGAAAGCUAUUUCUGGGCUAAAACCUAAAUUUUCUGGGCUAAAUAUUUUUAGGUUUUAGGUCACCAUUGAAGAUGGUCUAACUCUUGAUUCUAAUUACUACUCUGAAUAGUAAUUGCCUUAGAUCAAUUUCACCUGUUUAAGGAUUGCCAUGAAAGUUACUAUUCUUAAUAUAUUUUUUUAAAUAUUUAAAUGCAUACUUAAAUAAAAUAAAAUUCCAAAAAUUAUUUAAAAUGAGACAAGUUGGUUUUGUUUGGUAUUUUUGCAGACACAUUCUGCAUACACAUUUUUUUCGUAAAAAAAUGAGACAAAAUCAAAGAUCUAAUAUGAUUAAAAAUUUUACACAUGCCCUCCUAAAUUCGUUACAUUUUUUUAAUUUAAAAUUUGUUUCUUAUCUAAUAUAAUUUAAUUUUUCAAACAUCAUGUUUAUGCUGCUAGUUUUGAUUAAGUAAAGGUAUUUUUUAAAUUAAUGAAAAUUUUGAAAAAGGGGUUAUGUAUAGACCUUAACUUUUUUUUUUGUUGAACUAUAUAGAUGCCUUAUUUUAUUUUAUUUUAUAUUAAGUCUUAUUGUUUAUAGUUGAAUUGACUUCUUUUUUUUCAUAUGAAAAACAAUUCUUAUUUAAAAAAUUUCUCAUUUGUUUUGAUAAAAUUCUUACUUUAUACCUCAACUUACAGUCAACAGAAAGUAUCACAAGUGCAAUACAUGACAUAAAUCGAGAACAUUAUCAACUAUUAUUACAGUUUAGGAACGAAAAUUAAACUGACUAAUGCUACAAUUUAACUUAAAUAUUAUUACUCUAAACUUUUUAUUCGAUACAACGAGAUAUUUACACUAUGGCGGUGCGAGAAUAAAUUGGUUGCGAACUCUUUGUUUCCAAGAUUUGGACUUAAGACUUCUCAAUUAUAAGUGAAAAAGAAUGCUAUUAGACCAUAUUACUAAAUGUCUACUACUGCUCCAAACUUUACUAAUUAAAAUAUGCAAGUUCGAAACUCUAGUUUUGUAGUGGAUGCUUUAGCUCAUUUUAGCAACUCCCUUCCUUCUGAAAGUAUUUGGUUCAAUAGUGUUCAGAUUGGUGUAAGAAAUGCCUUAGAGCAGUUCCACUGGACACAAAAUUGCCCAGCACCCUGUCCCAAAAUCAGCCCAGCACCCUGUCAAUCUGCUCCAGCCCGCAAAACAGCUUGGCACCCAGCCCAAGCCAGGCAAUAGACUAGCCCAUUUCGAAUAGACCCAAAGGCCAGCCUAUUUGGCUAGCGCGUGCAUCACACUUGCGACUGGACGUGAGUAGGAGACAAGGGUGCAGCCGGCGGGGCCCGCUUGUCAGCCCACUUGUGUUCACUCGGAUUAGAGCUACGUGGCCCUUCUCAGUGCCGUUGGAUUUCCAACGGUAAAAAAAAUUUAAAUUUGACUUUUAAAAUGGACCGUCCGAUCAUAGAUCAACGGUCGACGUUUUUUUCACAAAAAAAAGGCCCAAUGGUCAGAAUUAUGACUGUUGGCCACGUGGCAACGCCUUGGCUCUUGGAUUUGCAUAUUUUUCAAAUCCAACGGUCUAGAUUAAUUAACUAUAUUAAAAUUUAUAAAAAAUUAUGAAAAAAAAUAUAGAAAAAUUAUGAAAAAAAAUACAUAAUUUUUUUUUAAAAUACAUAAUUUUUUUUAAAUAUAGAAAUUUUUUUUAAAAAGUUAUUUUUUUUCUUUUAUAAAUACCUAACCCUCAUCUUCCACCUUACACCACAUUUCAAUAUUUUCUACACUUUCUACACUAUCUACAUUUCAAUAUUUUCUACACUUUGAGAGAAAAAAAUGUCUUCGUGGAAGAACAUUAAAGAUGUUACAUUGUGUGAAUGUUGGGUUCACACUACUCAUGACCCAAUUACGGGUAAUGAGAUGGAUAAGUGAGAAAUGUGGAGUAAAAUUACGAAAAUGUUUUGCGAUGUAUAUGGAAAGGACGCCAGAACUAGUCAAGGUCUUCAAGGUCGUUGGAAAAAACUCAACACAUCCUUUACUUGUUGGAAAAACGUCAUCUCGCAUGCUUCCGGUAAUCUGCGUAGUGGGACAAGUUUAGCGGAUCAGGUGAUAAUAUUUUUAUUUAUUUAUAUGCAUUCCACCCGCAUCAAUAUUUUAAUUUAUUUAAUUUCUUAUGUAAUUUAUAUGCAUUCCACCCAUAUUUUUUAAUACUAUCUCAUCCCACAUUUUUACAAACACUACAAGCACAAGCAUUCUACAAUACAAAGAACCAAAACAAAUCAUUCAACAAAUGGGAAUGUUGGUAAAUUGUCAAAGAUUGCCCUAGAUACAAAAUUGUGGCAACCGGUCCAGAAAUUGUCAUACAUGGCAUGGGUCUACAUAGUUCGCCAGAACCAGACACAGCCGAACAAGAAGCCAACACAUUUGAAGACACGGAAGGGAAGCCUGAACAAGUGCCGAAGACCCAACCGACUUGUCAGUCCCUCAGGCUUCAAGGUAAAAAGGCAUCAAAGAAAAAAGGUAGUUCUUCCAAAAAUGACUACACUAAAUAUAUGGAAGAACUUGCUCUCCAAAGUGAACUGAAUAUAACACGGGAAAAGGCUAGAGAUGAGGAAAAAGCUGUUGCUAUGGCAGCAAUAAUAGCAGCUACUGAGGCCCGUGAUGCAGCGGUUGAGAGACAAAGAGAAAUAGUUAAUCGAGAGAAUGAGAUGAUUAGAGAAGCACUUCAUCGAGAAAAUGAGAUGCUUAGAGAAGAAAAGAUGGCUCAAGCAGAUCGUGACAUUAUGAACAAGCCUCUAGUAGGACUGUCUCCGAAUUCAAAAUAUUUUUGGACAUCGGAAAAAAAAGAGGUCGUGCGAAGGAGGUGUGCAAGAGAUGCCGAAACAAGUCGAGGGGGUUCUAGCUACAGAAAUCCUAGCAAAGAAGAUCCUAGCACCACAUAUCCUAGCUCCACAGACUUCGUAUAAUUUCGUAUUUCUUUGUAGUACUUUUUUUUUAAUUUUUAUGUAAUUUUUAAUGUAAUUUCUUAUUUAUUUUUAGAACUUUAUGCAAUUUCAAAUUUAUUUUUUGUACUUUAUUUAAACACAUCAAAUAAGAUUACAUAAACUCACCAAAUAAGAUAACAUUAAACUCACCAAAUAAACUUUAAAAAAAACACCAAAUUAACUUUAAAAAAAACACCAAAUAAAAUUACAUAACCUCACCAUAUAAACUAAAAAAAAAACACACUAAAUAAGAUUACUUAAAAAUCUUAUCCGAAAUUAAAACUAUUUUAUUUAUUUAUUCUUUUAUAAAUUAAAAAAAUAUAUAAAUGGGUUGGGUGCCAGCGCAUUUUUUUAGAGGUGAAGAUGCUUUGGCCUAUUACUGUUCACUGAGGUCUAUUACUGUUUACUUGAGUGGAUAAAUGCGCUGAGUGCUGACGUAAAGUCUUAGGGGUGGAAUUGCUCUUAUACUUUGAUAAUUUUUGUACUGGUUGCCCUAGGUGCUAUGUAAUUAAUCCUUUGCCUUCUCAAAAUAUAAAGUUCGAACGUAAAACAUAAUGAUUUGAAGACGGAUGCCUUUUUCAUCAUGACAAUUCACUUGUUGCCGAGUGUUUAUUUAGGAAAGUGAUUUUCACACCUCACCAACAGAUCAAAUAAAUCAAAUAAAUUUAAGAGUUGUGUAAGUGAUUAAAAAUAAGAGUAAAUUGUAGCAAUAGUCCCUCAACUUUAAUUAAAUAGGAGUAAUGAUCCCUCAACUAAAAAUUUAUUACCAUUGGUCCCUCAACUUAUCAAAAUGUGUAACUAUAGUCAUUUUCAUCAAUUUCGUCAAAAUAAGUUAUGUUGGAAUAACCACUUAUACAAUUAGGGUCUCUCAACUCAUUAAUGUGUGUAAUUAUGGUCAUUUUCAUCAACUACGUCAAAAUUUUUGUCAAAAUGAGUUAUGUUGGAAUGAUCAUUUCUACAAUUGGGUUAAAGUUAAGGGACCAUUUCUCUAGUUGAAUUAAAGUUGAGGGACCAAUGGUAAUGAAUUUUUAGUUGAGGUACCAUAACUGCACGUUUUGAUGAGUUGAGGGACCAAUGAUAAUGAAUUUUUAGUUGAGUGACUAUUGCUCCAAUUGAGUUAAAGUAAAGGACCAUAACUACAAUUUACUCUAAAAAUAAUGCUUGAAAAUCAUAUCCUUUUAUUUAUUUAAUUAUUUUUGGAGUAAUACUACACAUACCACCUAGUUGUACCAUUAUUUGUACUAUCUUUCUAAUAGAAAUAGGAACAACGCAUGUGGUCCAAUUUUCUAUUUAGAGAGAUAAUACAAAUGAUGGUACAACUAGGUGAUAAGAAUAACAUGUUUGUUAUUUUUGUGUUGGGUGAAGUGUCAAUUUAGUUCUUGAAGUAUUAUCUUAGUGAAAAUUAGGCCCCUGAAUUAUUUUUUGGGGUAAAGUAAGUUCCUAAAUUUAUUAAAAAUUGCUAAUUUCAUCCAUACUAUUAAAUUCAAAGCUAUUUUAUCCAAUUUGUCAAUUUAAAUCACUUGACACACCUUAAAAUGUAUAAUCGUCUUUAUUACACCUAUUAGCCUUUAACAUUUUAUAUAAGUUGCGAAUCUAACCUCUAAUUUAUCUAUACAUUAUUUCAUAAAAAAUUACCAAUUUACCCUUCAAUAUGUAUCAAAAGCAAGUAACGUGACUUAAAUUGACGGAAAAUUAAAAAUAGUAGCAUCAAAUAUAAUAUUAGAGAUAUAGUUGAUAGAUUUUUAUAAUUUAAAAACUGAUUUUUCUAAAAAAAAAUAAUAAUUUAAAGACUUAAUAUUCACUUAGGUAAUAAUUUAGGAACUAGAUUGACAUUUCACCGUACUACAGCACCAAACACGAGCAAGUCUCUUAUUACGACAACCAAUACGUGCGUCUUUCUCCCACGCAGGCCCAGUCCAUCCUUUGAAUCAACUGCGUCUCUCUGUUUUCACUCUUCGAUCUGUGCGUUUCUUCUGAUUCCAGUACUCCGCCGGCCCACCGCGAAAACCAUGGACGCUCUCCCGCAGGACACGCUCCACCAGAUCUUCUCGAGCCUUCCCCUCCGGCAGAUCAUGAUCUGCCGCUCACUCUCCAAGUUCUUCAACCAACUCCUCACCUCACCCUCCUUUGUCCACAUCAUCUCCACCCAAUCUCCGCCCCUCAACCUCCUCGCCCUCCGCCCUCCCCACCACCACCACCAGCGCCACGUGUCCUCCUCAUCCUGCCUCCACGUCUUCGACCCCGACCUCAACCAAUGGAUCAGAUUCGCCCUCGAUUUCCUCCCCUUCCGCUCACCACACCCCGUCGCCUCCUCUCUCGGCCUCGUCUACCUCUGGGGCGACUCGCCCGACCCGCCCGAGUCAGCCAAGUCCCUCGUCGUCUGUAACCCUCUGACUCGUCAGUUCCGGGUCCUCCCUCAGCUCGGCUCGGCCUGGUCGCGCCACGGCUCGGUCCUCGUUGACUCCCAAACUCGAGUCAUGGUCCUCACCGAGCUCGCCGCGCUCUACUUCUCCGGUUCUAACCAGUGGCUCAAGUUCUCAUCGAACCUCCCGUCAAAACCCAGAAGCCCAAUUUUGGUGUUUGACUCGGUUUACGCCCUCUGCGAUGUGGGUUCGCCGUGGAGGAGUGAAUGGAAGUUGUUCCACUGCACAAUUUCGAAGCUCAAGACCUCGCAGACUUGGACUCGGCUCGAAAAGCACGAUUGGGGGGACGUCUUUGACAUCCUGAAAAGACCCCGUUUAGUUCGCGGAAAUGGGAACAAUGUGCUGAUGGUUGGUGGGUUGAAGUCGUCUUUCUCGCUGAACGCUUCGUGUUCGACGAUUCUGAUUCUGAGGCUGGACUUGGAUAGCUUGGAGUGGGACGAGGCGGGCCGAAUGCCGGUGGAGAUGUUCAAGUGCUUUCAAGAGUCGAGCAAGUUCAAGGUGUUUGGUGGCGGCGAUAGGGUCUGUUUUUCGGCAAAGAGAAUUGGGAGAUUGGCUUUGUGGGACCGUUGUUCCGAGAAAGCUGAGUGGCGGUGGAUUGAUGGGGUGCCCGGGAGCGGCGAUGGGCUUUCCCGGGGGUUUGUUUUUGAUGCCACGCUCACAGCAUUUCCUUGAUGGGGUUCAACACAGACAUCAGAGCUUUUGAUGCCAAGUAGAGGUUGGUAUUUAUCCAUUAAUGAAUCCCAAUGUUGUUGUAUUAGCGUUGAAUUCGUAGAAUUUCUUGUGUUAAAUGAAUUUCUUAAUACAAAUCAAUAGAAUAUGUUCCAACUAAUGCUUUGGAAUUGCUUUGUUCACUUUGUAUCCAGUCUCACCCAUUACUUGCAUUACUUGCAUUACUUGCAUACAGAGCAGCCGAAAAAGAAAAAAUACAACGAAAAGAGUACAUUUUGUUGUUGUUAAAGUGUUGUGCAAUGGAUUAUGAUUAAGGAUGAAGUUAUGCCUCUACAUAGAACAAUGAAAACAUUUCCAACUUAGUGUGCUUGUGUUAGUGUUUGCACUGAAACUACGAUUAGAACUUAACCAGCCUCGAGACAGAUAAUAGUGGAAAACUUUCUUAUAAGUUCUUGACGUCACUUUAUAAUGCGUUAUCCUAUUAAUACAUGAACGGUAGAAAUGUACUCUUAGAUGAAUGGUGUUGAUUAGUGCAGCUUAUUGAGCUUGUUAGAAGGUUCUUUACAUGGUUUGCUAGUCCGUUUUCUAUGUUAGCUACGUGCCUGGGGAGCUAAGUCAGUUGCAUAAAUAGUAGGAUAUAUCAAGAAACAUCGACCCGUUCUUCUUCCUUUCUCUCUCCGUUACUUCAUUUCAGCAUUUCUUAUCAAACAUCAUGAACCGGAAAUGGUUAAUGCUGUUUGAUCUCUAUUCUUCUGCGUGCUCAUAUGGGUUCAAGAUUGUGACUUUUUCUGCCGAGAUUUCCUUUUGGUGUUCGUGCAUCCCACCUGUUUGAUCCAACGUCUUAGUCAAGAUCUUUUCCUGAGGUUAUGUAUUUUCUGAAGAAUUUCUUGUUUCUUUUGUGCUCAUUGGGUGAAUUGGUGAAAUGGGUUAUUGUGCAAUUUUUGUUUGGAAGAAUCAUUGUUGAUUAGUUGGGCACGAAGCCUCUUUGAUUAAAACUGUAGAAAUGUUAUUGGCACGAAGCAUUGUUCUAAAAAUCCCCGCCUAGACCCCGUCUAGGCGCUAGGUGGCUGGCCAUCGUCCCGAUUAAUGCCUAGUCGUUUGAAAAUUAAGAAAGGGCACCUAGGCGGUCUAGAUUUACUGAGGCGCCUGCCUAGACCGCCUAGCCUGCCCAAACCUGGUUAGGCACCCGCCUAGGUUGCAACUCACUUAGGCAGAAAAUAAAUAAUUUUCAUUUUGCAUUUUUUAUUUUAAUAAAUUGUAAGACACUUGUUGAAUACUUGAAUGAGCACACAUUAUAUGCUUGUUCCUCAUGUUUUCAUUAUGUUCCAAUACUUCAUAAUAUAUGUCAUUCUAUUUUGUAAUUUAUGAUGAAAUUAUAUAUAUUUUAAGUAUAAGCAUGCACUUAUUUACAUGAAAUAUAAAGAAUUUAGUUAAAUCCGCCUAGUCCGCCUACCUAGACCCAGCCUAGCCGUCUAGGCACUAGACCCUAGCUCACCGUCCAACGAGCGCCUAACAUCUUUUAGAACAUUGGCACGAUGCCAGUUCGGAUUUAAUAUUUCUUAAAGCAUGAACCCAUCUCACUAAGUUGAAGUUUUAGGCUCGAUUCCAAUUUUAUUUGUUUGGGAUAUUUCAGGCUUGAAGCCAGUUCAUUGAAGUACCGUUUGGUACGCAGACGGGAUGGAACGGGAUGGAACUGAGGUUCCGUGUUAUGUUUGGUACACGCAGGACGGAACAUGACGGUUGUUCCGUUCUGCGUUUGGUACGUUCUGGACGGAACGGAACCAAAAGAUUGAAUGACUAACUUAACCCAUGUUCUGUUUGUUAUUUGAUACAAUGUUUAUGCGUAGGACGGGACGAGACAUUUUUUUUUUAACUUGUUCAUAUUUGAACACAUAUAACAAUACCAUGAUUAGCUUUUGGAGAUUGCAGAAGCAAAACAAAAAACAACGACAGAGAAUUUAGAGAGAGAAAGUGAAUGACUAAAGAUUGUAUUCCUUGAACAAUGAAUGAGAGGGAGGGGGAGAGAGAGAGAGAGAGAGAGAGAGAGAGGGAGGGAGGGAGAGAGGUGUUUGUUAUUUAUACAAGUAUUCUUUGCUUCACUCAUAAGCUAUUAACCAACUAACUUAUCCCUACAAUCCCAACAGAACUAACGUGCUGCAACAACAUACAUGGAGACCUAUAAAACGAAAAGCAAAGAGCAUUGGUAAGUAAUAAUAAAAUAGAAAAACUACACAAAUCACAAUCAGAAAAGUCUGCUUCUAUUUCCUUUUCAAACCAGUUCUCCAAAGCUCUUUCAUAUUGCUAAAGAACAAUGGUAAUGUGGUCUGUUGAUUCACAUAGCCUUCAAAAAAGGAGCCAUUGUACUCUUGAUUGGGAGAUAUAGCAGCAAAAAAGGAAUCCUGGAAAUACACAGGUACCCAUUGAGCGCGAGCAUUGUAUAAAUGUAUAGUCUAUGAGUUCAAGUUGAAGCAUGUAAGCUCACUAAACAUGCAACUUCCACAAGAUUUCUCAAUUCAUUCAGGCAAUAUUUCAAACACAAAUUGCCCACAUGGAGCUGAAAAGAUUUAUCAAAUAUGGUUAAGCCUCUAGCUGGAAAUAAAAAUGCGUGCAAGCCAGAUUGUAUUAGAAAUUGAAGUUGGUACUUGACCAAUUCAGAACAUCUGCCUCGUACAGAAAACCCAAUUUCCCAACUUGGCUUAUUCAAAUAAGGUUAAAAACCUUAAUUCUUCAAAUAAGGUUAAAAACCUUAAAUUAUUCAAAUAGAUGAAUGGACAAGAGAAAUUAAAAUGCAAGGUAGGUUAUGAGGUGUCCAUUAUUUGGAAACUGCUGCAAGCCUUAGCAAGAUCAAGUGCGGAAAGACUAAUGGUCUAUGAAGAAAUCUACUAACCAAAACACCACAACUUGAGAAAGUCGUUAACUCGAGCCCAGAAUGGAUUCACUAUAUAGGAGAAACAACCAUUAUAGAUCAGAUUUAUGCAAACUAGGAGGCUAAGGUCACAUCACACCAGAUUCAAGAUGGUAAUAAAAUGAAACCUUGCACAUGAUCGAAACUGCUUAAUUUUAACAUUUUAAUACCUUUUCAAGAACUUAGAGCAUUCAAAUUCUUCCAUUUGACAAUCUUUUGGCUGCCAUGAAACCUUCUCAUAGGAAAAAUUUGUGCGCUGUGUCAUCCGACAAGACCACAUACUUGACAGCCAUUGCUUACAGUCAUGCCCAGAAUACAGCGGCUUCUUAUGGUCCUGUUUGGGCCCAAAUUUACACCAUCGGUCCAAGUAAUUAAGGCCGUCAGAAGAUUAGAGAUUUUUCUUGACAAUACUAUUGUUUUUUUUUUAUCAUAGUAAUUAUCAUGAAAAUAUCCUCAAAGUGUGCAGAGUUGUGAUCGCAUAAAGCUUAAUGUAGAAGAGGCUGUGUGAAAUGCCGUGCAUCAUUAGAGUCAUAUCUUGCAUGCGAACCACGAGGAACAAUAACACAAUGAUGCAAUUAAUAUUGGAUGAUCAACAUGUGGUUAUGCCGUUUGUGUUUGAGAUAAACUUGAACUUUGGGCUCAAAAGGGAGUUAGCCCAGACGAAGGAAUGGAAAGCAAGAAGCCCAAGGCUCAACCGAAGCCCAGAAGGUGGAAGAGGCCUUUUUCCCGACUAAGUACAGAUCACUCAAGCCACCUGCUCACCUACCUAAAGGUCAAGUGAUGUAGACCAGCCAGCUAAUCAGCCCAAAAGUACUUUAUAAUGGCAGGACAAGUAAAAAGUUGAUGAGUCACUACCCUUCAGAGGCAUCCGGGCAAGAUUGAAGCUAUAGAUAGCCAAGCCAAAUCGUCUAUAAAAGGAGAAAAGAGAAUUAGAGACAAGGACACUCAAUCAAACAAACAAAUACACAAACUCUGCUCAAGCCAGAUUUGCAUACGAAGCUAUAGUCAGCACCAAGCCUUCCUUCCUUUCGGGAUCAACCUUCACCAAAAAGCCUUUAUAAAAGCUCUGCUACCCUAUCUAAAUCUUGUUGGAGUAUUGAUUCCCUCAUGUAAACUCAUCUUCCAAUCUCCCCUUCUAGCACUCAAACCCUUUGUAAAUCACAAAGAGAGGAAGUUGCAAGAUGAUCAGCCUUGCCCGACAAGGUGAAACCUUGCCCGACCUCCUUUGUUUUUGUCUUUUCAUUCAUAAAGCUAGUAAUAUGAUGUAUAUUUCCAUCUGCAUCCAAGUUAUUUCUAGCCAGUUUAUGAUUAAAAGACUUCUAAGUUCUAACCAUUUGGGCAGACAAGAUUGAUCAAUUAAAAGUCAUUGGUCUUAAGACAUAAAAAAGAACCUUAUGUGGACUUAACCCAUCCACGACAGUCCUUGAUAACAAGAAGUUCGAAGUUACUUAGGGCGCAAGUAAUUAACUUAUUUCUUAGUCUUACUUCUGUUAUAUCAUGAUUGCUAUAGAAUGCUUGAGUAUAAAAUUAAUUCUGAUGGGAAACCUCAAGACCUAUACCUAAUGCCCGACAAAGGCACCUAUCCAAGUUCGUUCUGCUCUGCGGGCUCAGGCAAUUAAAGUAUAACGGUCGUGAUAUUUCUGCAACAAUGAAACAACCAAUAUAUGUUCGAGUACUUGGUUAGUUUUGAUUGGAAGCCUAAAGGCCUACACCAAAGACCACACAAAGGCACCUUUCAUUACUAAACUCGGGCAUAUUUAAUCAAACUAAACAUCUGUUUUACAUCUGUCAUGCUAAAGAUGGCAGUGGCAUGCCUGAACACCUAAAGGUUAAUUUUGAUUGUGAGCUUCAAGGCCUACGCCUAAGGCCCCACAAAGGCACUUUUCAGGAUUAACUUUGUCCUUCUCUUACAGCCUGCCAAUAAGCAGAAGCCCGACAGACAAUAUCAACGGGCGCCAAACCUCUUGGGGAGCUGUGUGCUCGUUGACCAGGAAACGUCCCCACUGGAUAUUCCUUAAGACGAACAGUUUGGAGUAAUCAAAAUGAGGUGAUGUGAUGGGAUCAGGGUGGUUUUGCAGAUAAUGCAAAACCAUCAACCAUGUGUUUUAAUUAUCAUGCAUGCAUGGAUAAAGCUUAUGAAGAGAUGGUGGGAUAAGUAGCACCACCAAAUUUACAAGAUUGGAUCCGGCAAAUGGUGAUGACGUAAUCCCAUUUUAAAAGAUGGGAUUAAGCUUUGAUUGAUGUGAUAAGGUCUAAGGCAUGAAUGUAGGCACAUAAAAGAUAAAAGUUUUUAGAGUUUCAUUUAUUGUGAAUAUGCAUGAGAUAAAUGCGUGGUCAACAGCAACGGUUACAGUGCAAUUGGGAUUGUUUUCCACGACUUAGGCAUGCAUGGCUUUAUAAAUACCAAGCGGCAAGCAACAUGAAAGGGACCUCCAACUCAACAUACAAACUGUCCUGCGCAAACCCUCGCUCUACGCGAAACCUCUCGACAACCUUGAGAUUUUUAUUUUCCUUUUUCGCCAACACAUCUUCAGUUUGGAUAAAUAGUAUUGUGAAGGCAACCGGUAAACAUCUUCAGUUUGGAUAAACAACAUUAUUACCGUAGAGUCAGCCGAUCGCGAAGCACCUUCAGUUUAGAUAAACAGCACCGCGACAAGGCCGACUGGCUAUCUAUCCAAGUCUCAGUCGAGAAGGAUUUUCAAAUCCUUAUUGGCUGAGGUCAUCUCAUCAGCCUUCUUGGCGAAGUGAGGUGUUACCAGGUUACUACAUUCGACACCCUGAGAGCCGAAUUUGAUAUUGAACUUCGCAGAACUAGCAGCCUUGUCUUCAGGCUCUAGAACCCGAAGGCCGAUACAUGUUCCUUCCUCAGCCGCAGUUGCGAGUUUCAGAAGUCAGCAGCGCACCCAACCCAACAAAUUUUACUCACUGGCCAAGCUCGGCCGUCGAAUUGGCAUGCCCCGCACACAAUCGAAGGACGUAGUUAGCUUAUUAAUUACUUGGCCUACGCACCAUGUAGACUUAGUAAUUUUUAGGGUCAACAGGUCCACAACCCAUUUUCCUUUCGCAUAAUUGCAUACUGGAGCUAUUAUCAGAUAAAUAACAAUCAUUUCCCAGAAAAUUGAAAAUUUCCAUGGAAAAUUCAAGAAAACGAAAAAGUAAAACCCAAUAAAAAAAAGCAAAAUUAAAGAUCUAUAGAGAUUAAGAUCAAACCUGGAAGAUGCAGCGGUUAUGGAAGAAAAUCGAGAUCGAACCUGGAGAUGCAGCUGGUACGGGAGAAGAUUGAGAUUGAACCUGGAGAUGCAGCUGCUACGGGAGAGGAUGAGGGGGAAGGCUACUGGAAAAGGCAGCGGCAGAGAAAAAAGAUGGGACGAAGAUGAAGAGGAACCGUCGCGAACUCCUCAGAAAGUGGGUUUGUGGUGGAGGGAGCGUUAAGGUCAAGGAAGAUGCAGCUAAGUUUGUGGUGGAGGAGGAAGAGGAGGCUACCAGAGAGAGAGGGUAGAAGAGAGGGAGGGUACGGGAGAGAUAGGGAGGGUGAUAAUGGAAUUAAUGAAAAACAGUAAGGGUAUUGUUGUCCAAAAAAUUAUAAUUUUGUGUUCCACGAACGUGGAAUGAGUCGUUUCAAGGGAGAAGGUGGAACGAAAAAGUAACCAAAUUUCAUUCCUUGGAACAGCAUGUUCCAAUGUUUUUUGCGCAACAAACGUGAGACGGAACGCCUUGUCCCACUGCGUUCCGUCUCAUCCCACGUACCAAACGGUACCUGAUAUUCAGGAUUGGUUUUAUCUUUUAAAUGAGCCGGAACCAAGCAAUCUGCUUCUGUAGAGCUUGUGGACGGUGAAGCUUAUUUUUUAGAUUGACAGGCAAUGGCAAAUCGGUAGCUGAUGGGAAAGUAAUCCCACACUUUAAAGUUCCUUUGAGGUGUCAUAAGAUCCAUUUAACCAAUCCAAAAUGCAGCUCGGUUGGAGAGGUCAUGAAUAGACAGACAUGAGAGGAAUUAUUUGAUGACAUAGUUUGGACUCCUAGAAUAUGACGCUCUUGGGGCUUUCUAUGCUUAACUGCAAAAGCAAUGUUUGAUCUACAAUCAAAGCUUAAGGUGAAGUUUAUGACCAAUCAUGUUUGGUCGAGUCAAAUUCGUUAGGAAAAUGUCAACGAGACCCAUGUUUUAGACCAUAUUUUGUAGGGGUGUGAUAUCCACACACCUCAUUUUACUUCUAGCACACCUUUUUAAUUCUCGGCCGUCAGAUCGGAUGAAUUGAAGAAGAUCAACGGAUAUAAAUUAUCAAAGGGUGUGCGAGAAGUAAAAUAUGGUAUGUAGAUAGCACACCCCUAUUUUGUAAUCACAACAGGUGGUCUACAAAAUAUGAUUUAGGCAGAUGGUUUCUUCUAGCGUCACCCAAUUCGUUAACCUGUGGAUGAUAUGAUGGAGGAGCCAAGUUAAAAAUUCAAAUUCUUAAGUCUUUCUGCUUUUCUAAUUAAUAAGAGGAGCUUUCAAGAUAAUAGAAAGAAAAGAAAAAAAAACAUUAAAAAACAAAGAGUUUUAAGAACAAAAUAAAAUCAUGCCUGCUGCACCACCAACAUUACCACCGCAUUCUCUCUCCAUCACCCACGCCACCAUGACCACCAUUACCAUCACUCCUUCACCAUCAUCACCACCAAUGCCACCACCUCCCACCACCAUUAUCGCCACAACCACAUACUCCACCACCAUCACAAUUGGGACCAAGGCCACCACCACCCCCACUGUCUUACCAUCUAUGAAGCAUGGACACUACUACAAUAUACCUUAUCAGUGGCGAAGCAAAAACCGACAAGAAACCCAAUUUCUGUCGGAAAUUUAGCAAAAAUUUGACAUAAAACAAUGUAAUGUUAGAUUGGAAUAGCGACACUAAUACUGGCGUCACAAAAGGGCUUCAGUGUCGGUUUGUACACUUAAUCCGUCAGUACGCAACGUCAGUUAAAAGCGACAUUGACACUGACGUCGGUUUAAAGCAACGCAAACUUCAACAUUAUGUCGGUUUAAAGCGACGCUAAUUACCAAUUUAAUUAUAAAAUAUCCAAACUACCAUCGGCUUUGACCGACAUUACAUAACAUAUGGAUACAUAAAAUAAUUAUUAUGACGUCGUUCAUAAGCGAACCAAAUAUAUUAAUAAUAAAAAAAAUUCAUUUUCCGUUUUUAAUUAAUAAUAAUUAAAAAUUAUUAUAUAAAAAUAAAUCCUACCAUAUGUCAAUGAAAAAACAAACAAUUUUAAGCAAACUUCAUAUUAAAAAUAAAAUUUCUACCAACUAUAUAUUAAAUUUAAAAUUAACUACAAUUCCUAAAAAUGUACAACUCAUACAAAUUCUUCCCGAACUCUUGCAAAAGAUUUUGAACCGGUUGUGUGGUUCAUAGUUUUCAACUGCUGAUUAUGCUUAUUUUUUUUGGCAAUCUUCUGAAAAAUAAAAGAAUUUAUUAGACAAAUUUCAAGGUAUAAUAAAAUAAAUCAUGAAACGUUUACCGUUGUUUUUUCUUUAUUGCAGUAUGCCACCAUCGAAAUAUUUCUAUAAUCUUUAACCUCUGCCGAUACAUGUUUCGAAAAUGCACUAGAAUUAUAACUAGACGAAUCAAAUGAACAAGGCUGUUCUUUCCAAUUCCGAAUUGAGAGUCCGUAUCUUUGUUGAGUUGAUACUUAUAAAUACAGAAAAAAACAAUUAAAAACCAAGAAACAAAAAUAAAUUUUCAAUUUAAGCAUAAAACUAGUUAGAAUACAAAACAGAAACUAAAAUUAAUAAUCAUAAUAAUUUUAAAAUGAAACACCUUCGAGCUCUUCCUUUUUGAAGUGGAGUUCCUCAGAAUGUUGAUCUUCAAAAUGCUGAUCCAUAGAAAAUGGGGAAGGAGAAGAGGAAAACCUGAAAAGGAGGAAGAAAGGGACGCACAGAUGAAAUGGGGAAGCAGAAGAAGAAAGUCUGAAAUUGGGGGAGAAAUGAAAGCACGGAUGAAAUGGGAAAGAGAGGGGUUUAAAUAUGGGUACUUAGUUUGCGUCGGUUUAAACCGACGCCAACUUCUGACACACUUUUUGAAAUUCACAUAGCGUCACUUUAAUGAAACUAGUGUCACUUAAAACCAACGCAAACUUCUGACACACUUUUUGAAAUUCACAUAGCGUCGCUUUAAUGAAACUCGGGUCGCUUUAAUGAAAUUAGCAUUGGUUAAAACCGACGCCAACUUCUAACACAUUUUUUGAAAUUCACAUAGCGUCGCUUUGAUGAAACUCGCGUCGCUUUAAUGAAACUAGCGUUGGUUAAAACCGACACUAAGUUUCUCCAUCCAUGUCCUCGUGCAAAACAAGCGGGAAAUUUCCCGCCUAAUAUUUCAAAUACUAUAAUUUUAUAUAUAUUAAUUUUAUAAUUUUAUAACCCUAAAAAAUACUAUAAUAAUUAUAUAUAUAUAUAUAUAUAUUAAUUUAACAAUUUUAUACCCCUAAAAACUAUAAUAAUUAUAUAUAUUAAAUUAAAUUUUAAAAAUUGGUGACCAUUGGAUCGGCUUAAAUAUACAUAUCAUUCAAUUUCUUAAGUGUUAUACGUAAAAAAUAAAUAAAUUUAAAUCUACUUAAUAUAUAUAUAUAUAUAUAUAUAUAUAUAUAUAUAUAUAAAUACACACACCAUUGAACUUGAUGGGAUACGAAUUCUACGAAACUAAUUUCAACGAUCCAACAGUCAAACUUGUUUGUAUAUGCUUCGAGAUCGCAUCAGCAAAAAAUCGCAAAAAACAAACAUUCAGAGAUUAAUUAACGAGACAAAACUUUUCGACGGUUAUAAAACGAAAAAUCACGAUUUAACGGUUAUUUUAACUCCGAUUUUGAUGAUUUUUUUACAGCUACACUCCUUAACCCUAUAUGAAUACAAUGAAUGAGCUCAAUCUUCAAUUUAAAAUAUAUUACACUAUUGGAUACCACAAAUUCUUAUGUUAUACUUAAUGAAAGUAUAAAUAAACUCUAAGUGUUAGUGAGUCUAUCAUUUUGAUAGGAUACGCAUUCUACGAAACUAAUUUCAAUGAUCCAACUGUCAAACUUGUUUAUAUAUGCUUCGAGAUCGCAUAUACCAAAAAUUGCAAAAAACAAAUAUUCAGAGAUCAUGUAAGGAGACAAAACUUUUUUACAGUUAUAAACGAAAAAUCAAGAUUUAACGGUUAUUUUAACUCUGAUUUUGAUGAUUUUUUACAGCUACAUUCCUUGAUUCUAUAUGAAUACAAUGAAUGAGCUCGAUCUUCAAUUUAAAAUAUUUACACUAGUGGAUAUCACAAAUUCUUAUGUUAUAUUUAAUGAAAGUAUAAAUAAACUCUAAGUGUUAGUGAAUCUAUCAUUUUCAUGGGAUACGCAUUCUACGAAACUAAUUUCAACGAUCCAACCGUCAAACUUGUUUAUAUAUACUUCGAGAUCUAAUACGCCAAAAAUUGCAAAAAACAAUCAUUCAGAGAUCAUGUAAGGAGACAAAACUUUUUAACGGUUAUAAACAAAAAAUCACGAUUUAACGGUUAUUUUAACUCCAAUUUUGAUGAUUUUAUACAGCUACACUCUCUGAUCCUAUAUGAAUACAAUGAAUGAGCUCGAUCUUUAAUUUAAAAUAUUUACACUAGUGGAUACCACAAAUUUUUAUAUUAUAUUUAAUGAAAGUAUAAAUAAAUUCUAAGUGUUAGUGAAUCUAUCGUUUUGAUGGGAUACGCAUUCUACGAAACUAAUUUCAACAAUCCAACCAUCAAACUUGUUUAUAUAUGCUUCCAGGUCGCAUACGCAAAAAAUGGAAAAAAACAAACAUUUAGAGAUUAAGUAACGGGACAAAACUUUUCGACGGUUAUAAAUGAAAAAUCACAAUUUAAUGGUUAUUUUAACUCCGAUUUAGAUGAUUUUUUACAACGCCACUCCUUGACCCUAUAUGAAUACAAUGAAUGAAUUCGAUCUUCAAUUUAAAAUAUUUACACUAGGGGAUACCACAAAAUCUUAUGUUAUAUUUAACGAAAGUAUAAAUAAAUUCUAAGUGUUAGUGAAUCUAUCAUUUUGACAUAGAUAUUUAAAAAAAAAACUAAAAUCUAUGUCGCUUGGAACCGACGCAGGCUUUAAAAUAUUUAAAAACAAUACUUUGUGUCGCUUAAAAGAGACACCAAUACUUUAUGUCGCUUAAAAGCGACACUGUUUUGUUUAAAGCGACGCUAGUAUUUAAAAUUAUUAAAAUAUAUGUCGGUUAUAAGCGACAUUAAAUGUUUACGUCAGUUUAAAAGCGACGUAGACAUUUUAUGACGCUUAUAAGUGACAGUAAAUCCGACGUCAUCUUCAGUUAGUGUCGCAACUAUCUUAUCCGUCACUAUAUUAUAUUAAACCGACGCCACCUACUGGCACUAUAAGGCCCUUUUCUAGUAGUAGGAUACGGAUACGGCGAUACGGAAAAUCUCUAAAAAUUAAGAUUCAAUACGCUAUGGAUACGGCAAAUAAAAAUGUAUAUAGCAACAAAAAUACAUUUUAAAACAUAAUUCAUCAUUCAAAUUCAAGUACAUUUGAAUUAUUAGAGAAGGAAAGUUCGAAAUCUAACCCUCUUUAUACAAUAGAAGAAGUGUGAGAGUCGCAUUCAUGGUUUUAAUUAGAGGGAAGCUCUUUGUAUUUAGCAACUUUCAAUUAUAGAUGUCUCCUAUUAAUUUUCUCCUCCUCAUUACCUUUUUUUGAAAGUGUAAAUGUAUCUUAAAAGCAUGAUACGUGUAUCCUAAAUGUAGAAUACGCAUAUCCAUCAUGUCACAUUCGUGUCCAUCAACCAGGGUACGUAUCGGACGAGUAUCCGAGAGUAUCGGACAAGUAUCCGAGAGUAUCGGACAAGUAUCGUAUCCGAUCAAGUAUUGGAUAUGGGAUACGAGACCAAAUAGAAGUAUCCGUGCAUCAUAGCUUACCAUUUGCCACCUACACCUUCGCUGCCACCACCAUGUUAUCCACAGUCACAUUGCCGACCAUCAACUAUCCGUUGUCACACCGCCACCACCCACCAUCAUUGCUACCAACACCACUCUCGUAGCGAUCACCGUCUCUACCACCACUGCCACCAUCUUAAUAAUAUUUCUGAAAACUUUACUACCAAACAUGAAAUAUGAUACGUUUCAAAAAUCAUUCUAGGAUUAAACUACCAGACACACAUUCAAAUCAUAAAAAUGCAUAAUCCUAUUUGUCGUUUUCGUUUUACAAAACAUUUUCAAAAUUCAUUUUGUAAAACGUUACCAGACGAACCCUAAAUUACUAGAGCGAAAUCAUAAUGGCAAAGAACUUUUCCCAUACAAAGGCUUCUCCAUAACUUAACUGAACAGAACUGAAAAUAUGAGAAGUCAAAUGAAGCAAAACAAUACUUCACUUGAACAAAACAAUUUUAUUCCGUAACUUAACCAAUUCAUAUAUUAUUCCAAUAGCAAAUUAUGCAUCUACUCCCCAUUCUUUCAAGCCUUGUAUUACUAUUUCUCUUUCAAUUAUGGAAUGACUAAAAUUUCAGAUCUCGCGUAACCCUACAAAAUCACUACACAGACACUAUUUGUUAGCACCCUCCAAGAAUGGCACGCCUGCAAUCAUUCUCUCUCUCAAGUUUUCUCUUAACACUUAAACCGAAAGAAACACUCAGGACAAAACAUGUGUGUUUACAAGAUCGGACUGUAUCCCAUUUUGGACACGAACAGAAACAAACAAAUCAUAUAGAGGGCAACAAAAAGCAACCUAAAAUAGGCAGCAACACAAUUGCUGCAAUUUAUUACCAUAUUUGCUUUAAAGGCACAUAGAGUGCACGGUACAACUUAACAAAACAGCAACGUUAUUCUUUCGUCGUGGUAGAAACCCAACAUACACAAGCAAAUUAAAGAAGUGCCACCAGGUGGUCAUCUGGUUUAUUUAUAAUCCCUCAGAGGCAUAUAUACUUUGACUCCAAGCAAACUAGCACGCAACAAGGUAAAUACAGUUAAGGUGCUGGUACGAUGAUGGGAGGUGAACUGUGCGACUCAACAUUCCAUAUCUCCAAAACCCCAUGAACAAAGUCAUAGUAACCACCCUUGAGCGCUAGGUUGUUCUCUGCGAGCGCCUUUUGAACGUAAGGGUAAGUUUGUAGGUUUAUUAGCGACAAAUUUACUGCUUCCUGCAUAAAAUUAUCAUUCAAGAAGAUAUUUAGGUGAGAUUAAUGUCAUAACUCAUGAAAGCGCACGCACACACCUUAACUGGUCACUAAAAAUUAUUUCAUUUGCAAAAAGUGAAUCGAGCGUAAAUGGCCUUCCAAAUAUUUCAUCAAUCCAAGAUCGAAUUAAUAUCUUACCCUUGCACAAUCCUCACAUUGUUCCUCGAAAGUGGUGCCACCUUGUCCAUUUGCUAUAACCUUAGCCUUGGCGGGUAAACCAAUUUUGACCCAUUCAUCUAUGAAGUCACUGCAUAUUCCAAUCAAAUGGUUAAGGAUGCAAAACUAUAUACCAUUAGCAAGUUCUAAUGAUCUCAGUUCAUUGCUAAAAAAAUGAUUAGGCUGGGUUUUUGGCUAUACUCUUUGACCAUCCUAAAAAUGCUAACAAAUAUCCAAAUUACCAGGUCUUAUAUUGCAUCCUUGUAAACGAUAAUGAUUAAUCAUCUUCCAUAAUCUACAACUUUUGUGUGUAAAAAGCCUUACAAGGGAACAGAGUUAUCCUCAGGGUGACUCAUAAGCCUCUUUAUCCCACCACAACGACUGUGUCCAAUUACCAAAAUAUUUGUCACCUGUUCAAUUUUCUUCUUGUUAGCAUUCAAUUCAUACUAUUUUAGUAACAAGUGAAGAGAAAAGGAUUAAGAGUUAUUAAUUCAAUAAAUUAAAAGACUUUUGGAAUGUUUACCAGGAGUUGUGUAAUAGCAUAUUCUAUAACUGCUCCAACUCCUGCGUGUUUCAGCUGUAAAGAUAUGGAAAAAAAUUAUUUUCGUAGUCGGAUGCAUGACUAUUAUGUGAUUUAUGAGAAAUUAUAUUCUCAAAGUUCAAUAUUAUUUUGAACGUGAAACUGACACACUUGUUCAUAGUUUCUAAUGCAGGUGUGCGUUACUAUUAUAUAAUGUAGAGAGUAAUGGACCUGAUUGAAUGCAGGAACCAUGUUUGCAAUGUUGCGAGCCAUGAAGGCCUCCCCAGGUUGGAAACUAAGGAUAUGUGAGGGGCUCACUCGGGAGUCCGAGCAUGCAAAUACCAGAAACUGCGUUGGGAAUUAGCAACAAAAAGAUUAAUUAAACAUUUCUUGGUCUAUUUAUUCUAAUUAAGAUGUUACAGCCAAAUAUUACCUUGGGGCAUUGUCCAUUGGCAAGCUCCUUGUAGUAAUCUGGGUAUUUUCUGUAAGAUCAGUAGACAUUAUGCUUUCGAAUCUAUUAGAUAUAUAGCAAAUAUGUACAAUAAUUAAUUAAUAGUGAAAUUACUCGAAUUUGUUGACCCUGAAGUUGAUGAAGCCAUCUACAAUCCUUUGAACUGGGUCGAAAUGACCAUCUGCAGGUCUUUGCAAUUCAGCCAUCAACUUCUCAAUUUUGGCAGCAACCACAUCGUCCAGCUCUUCCUUCUCACUGCAACCAUGCCAACCAAGAUUAUCAUUAAUUUUAACGAAAACCCCAUGGUACUGUUCAUUUUAACGAAAAACCACAUUUUUACACUAAAAAGUCAAACAUGGUACUAUUCAUUUUACCCUUUAUUUUAUUCUUAUCAUUAAAACUCAAAGUUUUCAAGUCAUUUUCAUUAGUUUUUCUUAUAUUUUAUGCCACCAACAACCUUUUGUAGCCUUUAACAAAAAACAAAUUGGAGACUAAUUUUUUUCUUGUUAGAUAUGUAGUUUACAUGUUAGAGUAAAGUUUAGAAUUGGUCCAUGAACUUUCACCCUAAUUUAUAUUUAGUCCAUGUACUAAAAAUUCGUUAAUUUAAUUUGGUUCUUAAAAUUAACAAAAGAGUAAAUUGUAGUAAUGGUCCCUCAAUUUUAAUUAAAUUGGAGCAAUGGUCCUUCAACUAAAAAUCUAUUACCAUUGGUCCCUCAACUCAUUAAAAUGUGUAGCUAUGAUCAUUUUUGUCAACUUCGUUAAAAUUUUGUCAAAAUAAGUUAUGUUGGAAGGAUCAUUGCUACAAUUGGGGUCCCUCUACUCAUCAAAACGUAUAGCUAUGAUCAUUUUCGUCAACUUUGUCAGAAUUUUGUUAAAAUGAGUUAUGUUUAAAUGACCAUUACUACAAUUGGGUUAAAGUUGAAGGACAAUUUCUUCAGUUGGAUUAAAGUUGAGGGACCAAUGGUAAUGAAGUUUUAGUUGACGAACCAUAGCUACACGUUUUGAUGAGUUGGGGCACCAAUGAUAAUAGAUUUUUAGUUAAGAGAUCGUUACUCCAAUUGAGUUAAAUUUAAGGGAUCAUUGCUACAAUUUACCCUUAACAAAAAUAUGCACAAUUUUGAGUUCACAGACGGAAUCUAAACUAGGACCAAUUCUAAAUUUUUACUUUUACAUGUUAUAUUGUCAAACAUCAAUAUCUGAUAUUUUCAUAAAGUGGAUGGUUAGACCAAAGAUCAUGGAUGAAGUCAAUAAGUAGGCAAACCUGAGGAGAUUUUUCAGGCGUUGAAUAGCUAAUUGGCUUGCCAUUUUGUCUACUUUCUUUCCUGCAAAUUCAAGAAUCACGACCUUAUUAGUUUACAUUGAAAUGUAUUAUAUGGGUUUCUCCACAAAAAAAAAAAUGUAAAUAAGAAACUGAGAGAGUCCCAAGCGGUGGGAAAGAAGCCAAAAUUAACCCUGAACAAAAUUCAAAACAAAACAAGACCAGGGAAACCAUUUUUUUCCCUUUGUUUUUUGAUUUUCUUUUAAUUUAUUCAACUCAAAGGCCAAAUAAAUAAGGAUUGUAUAUUUGAGUUGUUCCUCUAAGCAUUAACUAGGUUUUUAGUUUUAUAAGCUAUAUUGAAUCAAAUUCGAAAUUCUGAGUGCAAGAGUUAAAUUUUUAUGAUCAGUAAUUUUUAUCCUCAAUUGAAGAAGAGUUUCAAUUGGAAGUACGUUAAUUAAACUGGUUUGAGCACCAAGGAAAGAACUAGAACUAAUUAUCCAUAUAUGUAAAUUCUGCCAAAGUUUACAGUACUAAGCACGCGCAUACACACAUAUGAUAAUAUAGUUUGAGUAGAAAAAUAGAAAUUGAUAUUAAUCUCUUGCAUACCCGAAAUAAUCAGAACAUGAUUUAUUCUACCCAAACAAAACACACAUACACAACCGUACGUACGUUCAAGAUAUUUUCCAAACUUAGCAAUGGAACUAAAGGAGAUCAAAUUGCUUCACACAUGCACAAGCAACAAAUACAAAACGCAGGCACAUAUUUGCAGUGAGGGUUGGAGCUUCUAUUUAUACACCGAGACUAGAUCCUUUUUCUUUCUUUCUAUUUCAGUUUUGGAUUGAGACUGACUAUUUAAUCGACAUGUUUUAAUUACUCUCUGAAAUAUUGAUAUUGAUUGAUUGGACAACUAUGAAAGCAUUGGACCACAUUUAAAUCGUGAUUCGUGACAAUAUAGUAAGAAACGAGAAGGAGCUCUCCACCCUUAGCUACCACCCAAUACCAUAUCUUUAGCAGUUUUGUUUCCAUGAAUUCGUUUAAUAGGGUAAAAUGUAUAUUUUGUUGAGAUUUGACGUGAGGAGAAGUUUAUCCCACAUCGGUGAGGGACAUGUCUUGUUACGAGCUUAUAUGGUUUUAGACUACUUCUUAUAUGAUUAAUUGAUUUUAUGAUGAAAUCUCAAUUUCAUCAUGGUAUCAGAGCAAGUUGUCCCUCGUUUGAAAGCCUAAGGGCCACACGUGCGGGGGCGUGUUGAGAUUUGAUGAUGUGAGGAAAAGUUUGUCCCACAUCAGUGACAGACAUGCCUUGCUAUAGGCUUAUAUGGUAUUGGGCUACUCCCCAUAUGACCAAUUGGUUUUAUGAUAAAAUCUCAAUUUCAUCAUAUUUAAGGUGGCGCCAUCCAAUUUGGAAUGUUUCCCAAUUUCUUGUUUUCUUUAUUACACAUGAAUUAUAAGUUGCAUGUAGUACGUGAUUAAGAAAAAAAAGUUUGUGCAUGCGAAGAAGUUAGUAAUUAAUUAGUGAUUAUGUAGGGUUGCUGGUAAGACAAAAUGCGUAAAUAGCUGUCUUAGGAAAUUUUUUAAUCUUAAAACUCAUGAAUAUGCCCGCAAGAAAAAGCAUCUCUACUCCUUUAUAGUGUCACGCAGUGACAAUCACACACCUAUAAUUUCCACUCCUACACACAAGCGCACAAGCUGACACAUGAAUAUGCCCACAAGAAAAACGCAUUUCUACUUUUUAUAGUGUCACGUAAUGACAAUCAUUCACCUAUAAUUUCCACUCCCACACGCAAGCGCACAAGCUGGCUGCAGCCUAGCUAAAUGAAUACGUAACUCUGAGUAACGUUGCAUUAACCAUAUUUUUUUUCAGAAUUCGGAUUCUCGUCUGAUUCUUUUGUGAGAUUCUUGAAUUUUGUGAAUAGCGUUCGUUUAUCGUAUAUCGUGCGAUCAUAAAUCAUUUUAAAUAUUUUUUUUUAAAUUAAAUACAAACAAUACUUGAUAAAAACUGAUUGCACGAUGUACGAUGAAUGAUCACGAUUUACGAAUUCCCAUGAUUCUUACCAAAAGGAUAUGGAGAGGGUCCUGUUGGGUUUUUUCAUACUACAUUUGUAUCAUAUAUUUCUAAUGGAGUAGGAGCCACCAACAUAUGUAUGUUCUAUCUCUAUUAGAAAUAUGCUACAAAUAUGGUAUAAAAAAUAAGGAAAACUAAUGAAAAAAAACUUAAAAACUUUGAGUUUUAACAAUAAAGACAAAAUAAAUGGUAAAGUGAAUAGUACCAUGAUUGACUUUUUAGUGUAAAAAUGUGGUUUUUCGUUAAAGUGAAUAGUACUGAGCGUUUUUCGUUUAAGUUCUCUAAAAAAAUAUGAUAAUAGUAACAUUUUUGCAUUCAAAGUGUUGAUUUAAGAAAUUGAUGAAUUUUUCAGCUAUGAAAAGAAAUUUAAUACGCAAAUUUUUUUGAUAGUAGGCUUUUUAGUGUGAAACUAGUACCAAUGACAUUGAAUGAAUUGUUAACCGGAAAAUUAAGAAAAUAAAAUAUAAUAUACGAGUGUAUGGUUUCAUUUUUAAUAAACACCGAUACCUUCUGUCAUAAAAUUCAAUACCUAGCAAUAAUUGAUUAAGUUAAGAAAAUAUCGGUAUAGUUAGGAGUGGUUCAGUGUCCCGUCUCUAUAAACAUGUGACAAAAAAAUAUAAAAAAUAACCUUUCUCUUUGUUGAUUAAACCUCGUAUUUUAAUAAAUAUUUCUUUUGUUUUAUACAUAGACUAGCCUCUCUGGAUGCACGAGAGGCAUUUUUGCAUCACAAGCGCUACGUGCCUCUAAAUGUGUAUUGCGUUAAUUUUUUUUCAUUGUAAUUGUCAAGAUAUAUUUUAAAUGUAUUGUGCAAAGAAGAACUUUUUAUUUACCAUGCAAGUCCUAAAAAGUUGUCAUGUUUUUUGUUUUCACUUUGCCUAACAUAAUGAUUUAAAUGUUAUUCAUGCAAUUGUCAAAUAACAAGGGAUUUCGGAUGCAAGUUCCUACCUAAAAUGAACAAAAGUAAGUAGAUGUAAAUAAAAAAAAAAGAGUACAUGAAAACAUUUAGUACUCGUAGCAAAAUACAAAAAAACUUAAAAAGUCAAAAUAUAAAACCUACAUCACAAUAUGUACAUUAUUCACAAUACCCAUGAAAUCUAUAUGUCACCUUUUCUUUUGAAAAUAAAGUUUACAUAUUAACAUAAAUGCUGCAAUUUCCACCCAUAUGUUUUUACUACACAUUUGGGUUUUUCAAUUGCAGGAUCAUCCACAAAUUUGUACAGGAAACAAUUACGGAGAGAUGGUUCAAAUAAACAAUGAGAUUGAAACAUUACACAAUCCCAAUUUCAAAUCAAUAUUUCUUAAAAGCAUGAUUGGAGCACCUCUUUUCAGAGUUAACUUGUGCGGAGGCAAACCACCAAGUGAGAUUGAAUUCAAGAACCAUGGCUGAUACAAAUUCCUUGUGUUAUCCUCAACUGAAUCAAAUGAAUACAUUGUCUCUUCUAAAGGAAAAAAUACAGUAAGAACCAAAUAAUAGUGUUACAGAACAAACUAAACAAUUAAUCUAUGACAUUAAGCUGAAGACUAAGAAUACACAUCCAUCAUCUUUUCCUUACAGUACCACAUAUCCGAAUCACUUCUAUCAAAUCUAUUUGAAUAGUGUAUCUUAUUAAAAGUUGCAAAGGAUGAGUUCAUAGGGUAUAUGGCUUCGUAGCGUAAUAUCUACUUUUUUCUUUGACAUAGAUGUCACACUUUCCCAUUCCACAUGAAACUGCUGUGUCAAUUCAAAUUUACCACAACAUUAAUGCUUGUUUCCAUAGCUGCAAAAGAAGUGUUUGAAAUGAAAAUAUGAGUUGAAGUGUAAAUUGUUUGUAGUAUUUAAAAUACAUACAUUGACAAAAAAGUAAGAAAAAAAAAAUUCAUAUCCAAUUAGAUUGACCAGAAGCUCAAUCAAAGAUAAUAUCAAAAGUAAAACCCGUUACUUUGCAUUUCGUUGACAUUUGGAGCUGUUUAAAUUAGUUUUUGUUACCAAAAUCUAAACAAUAGAAAGAAGAACCUCUUCGAAGAAGAAUUUACAGUAACUACAACUAUAAUGCUUUUGUCUACAAUAAUAUUAACACAAUAAAUAAAAAAGAGUUCUCAAAUGUACAUAAUCUUUACUCUGUUUUUUCAAAUUCUAAAGCAUGAUAUGGUAUCUACCAAAUGGAAAUAAUAAAGGGAAGAAGAACCUUAAGAGUAUGUGAAUGGACAAUCUUUUCCUAUAUGGAGGAGGAAUUAAACUCAAUUAACCGAAAGGUAAAAAAAAAACAAAAGCUAAAAGUGGAUGAUCCUGCAAUUGAAAAACCCAAAUGUGCAGUAAAAACAACCAAGAGAAAACAGAAGCUAAAAGAAAUCACAUUAAAAAAAAAAAUCAACUGAAAUUAAGCAAUCACACUUGAUCGACCCUAAAGUGACGUACAAAUGCCAAUUGCCAAUUGCCAAUUGCCAACAAAUUUAAGAAACCAUUUUGAAAUUAAGCAGACAUUGUUGUAAUAAGAAAAAACCUCAAAUGUGCAGUAUAAUUGAAAUUAACUCCAUUUGGAGGGAAUUAAAGAAUGCCAAAACCACAAUAACUUCAUAUUACAUUAAACAUUUUGGCUAAUAUGUUAUAAGCACAACCAACUCGUCCAUAUUAAGAACCCAACAGAAAUAGAAACCAACUUGUGAACCAAAGGAAGAUGUGAACAGAAAAUAAAUUCAACAAAACUGGAAAAAUGAAGAGAAGAAAUUCCACUUAUGAAAGGUGGUUAGGGAAAAAAAUAAAAAUGAAUCAAAAGUAGAAGAAAUUCCACGGCCGACCUGCGUAUUUAUCCUAUACAACAGUCGUUGUCAAACUCUUCAGUCGGAGCUCUACACAUUGCUUAUAUCUGUGAGAUGAAUACGACAAAUAUUUGAGGUUGAAUUAGUGAAUUUCAAGUACACUGGAAAAGAGAAAAUGCAGACCACAUCUUGAUGAACAAAAUUAGAGAAAAUGGCGUAUAAAAAACAAAAGGGGAAAUCGAUUAGGUACUCAUGAUUAAAGGAAGAUUAGAAAUUUCAUUAAAAUUAAAAUAAGAAUUGAAAGCAAAAUCAAAUGUAGAAGAAAAUUCCAUUAAUUGAUAGAACACUCACGAUAUGUCCAGAUUCUUAUAGCCUUACAGGAAGCUUUGCACCGUGCAAUUUUUUUGCCUGAAGCAGUAAAAGGCCCACUCCUCACAUCAUGAUCUGCCACAAUUUAAAGAAGUCGAACUAGUAGAAAGUCUUGGCAGAACAAAAUUGAAAACAUAAAGCAUAAACCCAAUAAGAGUCAUAAACUAAUGAAGAAAGAAUUUGAAAAUUUUCAUACUACUAACCCUACAAUAUUGUCUCGCCCAGACAACACACAUCACAUUUAUCUCCACCACUUGCACCGAUACAAAUGAUUUGAAACCUAAUGGAAAAAGCACGAUAAAUAAUUGGAAAAUGGAUUAAUAUAAACAAAAACUCCCAGAGCCAAGAGUUUCCUUGUAAGCAUAAGAACCUCACCAACGGGCUUCAUUGGAAUGUAACGAAUGCAGAGGGAAACAUAAAGACACUUACAUGGAGAAGAAACAAAUCCAAGUCUUUCACUCAAAAGAAAAUAACCAACAAUCAUCCAUGAAAAUAGAAGGAAAAAUGAAUUUGGAUGGCCGCUGGAAAAGAAUGUAGAGAUCAUGGAGAAUCCGAGAUUGAAAGUUACAUGCGAUAAGAAUCAGUCGAUGUAGAGGAAGAGUCUUUGUCAAUAUAUCUAUCUGUUUGUUUCUCCCUCCCCCUCGUUGUUUUCUCCUUGAUUUCUGCACGACUACAAAUAAACUGCCAAAAUUAAUAUGAAACUAAACUUACCCAGUGAAAUUUGAACACAAUGGAUUACUUCUCCAGUAGAAUUCAUUUCCAAAUCCAACUACUUUGAGAGGAUUUAAAAAAAAAACCCCGUUUUCUAAAAAAUUGGAAUCUCUAAUAACUAUGGAAUCACACUAUGCAAAACCCAAGUCGUUCAUUAGGACGAAGAAUCGCAGAAGCCCAGGAAUUUGAAAUCUCAUACUUCAUUUGAGGUUUUUUCUAAUUGAAAACCCAACAAUAAUAAUCCAAUCGAAAUUGAUUGUAAAGACAAAAAGCAAAGGAGUUUAGGAAAAAUCACCUGAAAUCUUGUCUAAAUCGAGUGUGGAUGUCGACGAAAAUUUCGAAAAACACGAAGAAGAGGGGUCUGUGCGGAAGACGAAAAUGGGUUCGUUUCUUCCGAUGUAUGACAAGUUGUUCACUGUAGAACGCGUAGUAGAUGGCGGUUCCAUCUCCUCUGGUGAUUACAGCCGCUGCGGUUAGAUGUGGUGUUCGAGAGUUCUACUGAGUUUUUUUUUAUUUUUUUAUUUUUUAAUUUACGUUUUUUUCUCUCGGAAAGAUAGGACACAAUGCAGUAUUUGUGGGAGGAUUAAUCCAAGGGUCAAAAUGAAUUUGAAGUGCAAGUAUUUUCAUCUGGCGGUUGUCAAUUGUUAUAGUUAAGAUGGGCGUUUUUUUAAUUUGCUUUUUUUUAAGACAAUUUUAUACUUUGUUAUGUUUUUUUUACUAGUUUAUCGUCAUUUUUUGAAAUGUUUUGGGUUUGGUUGUCAAGAAAACAAUGGGGCCUUCUUGGCAUUUUGAAAUAUUUCACCUAUUUGGCCUUCUCCCUUUAUAUAUAGGGUAAAGCACAAAAAACUACAUCAACUAUUGGUGUCACGACACUUUCAUACCUCAUCUUUUAAAAUUGACAAUGUCAUACCUCAUCUUAUGAAUUUGUACCAAUGUUAUACCUCCGUCAGUUUUUUUGUUAAUUUCUCAGUUAAUUGCUGACGUGGCUUGAUUCGGGACCCGCUUUCUAUUAAAAAAUAAUAAUAAAAUAUUAUUAAAAACUAAAAAAAAAUCAUUUAAUAUUUUUUAAAUAUUAAAAUAAUAAAGAAGGUUAUUAAAAAAUUAAAAAAAAAAACCAAACAAAACUUCCCCCUGCGCCCUCUCUCUUCUCCCCCAUCUUCAUCUCCCUUCAUCUUCUUCCUACCUACUGCAACUCAGAAAAUAGAAAAGAAAAAAAAACAAAAAACAAAAUAAAACAAAACUUUGUCCCUUACCCCCCCAGGCGCCCUCUCUCUUCUCUCCCAUCUUCAUCUUCUUUCCUCUUCUUCCCCCUAUCUGCUGCAACCUAGACAGAAAAAAAAAAAACAAACAAACAAACAAAACUCUCCCCCCCCCCCCGUGCGCCCCCUCUCUUCUCCCCCAUCUUCAUCUCCCUUCCUCUUCUUCCUACCUGCUGCAACCCAGAAAAAAGAAAGAAAAAAAAAAACUAAAUUUUGUUCCUUCCCCCCACCCACACCCUCUCUCUUCUCCCCCAUUUUCAUCUUCUUUCCUCUUCUUCCCCUAUCUGCUGCAACCCAGAAAAAAAAAAAAAAACAAACAAACAAAACUUCACCCCCCCCCCCGCCCACCGCGCCCUCUCUCUUCUUUCCUCUUCUUCCCCUUAUUUGCUGCAACGCAGAAAAAAGAAAAGAAAAAUAAAGGGAUAAUUUGAUUGUGAUCUCUAAUCCUUAACAUUAUUUGAUUAAAACCUUAAUAGUAUUCAAAGUUUGAUAGAGAUCUCUUGACUUUGUACACUUCAUUAUAUUACUAUUAAUAUUUUUAUUUUUAUAGUUUUGACAUUAAUUGUUUGAUAUUUUAUGAGAUUUAUAAUCCUAUAAAUUUAAAAUCCCUCAUUAUAAUACUAUUAGAAACGAUUAUAACAAAAAAAAUUCAAACAUUUUAAUUGAAUAAAUGGAUAAAAACUAUGUAAAAAUAAGAAAUAAUAAAUGGUAAAAGAAUGUAUCCUUAGUGUUAAAAAAAAUUGGACAUUUUACAAACAAAUUGGUACAUUUGACAUAUAACAAAGUGGUACAUUAAUAAAGAAGAAUGGGUACAUUAUAAAUAAAUUAGGGUACAAAUAAAAGAUUAAAAAUUAUGAGUACAAAUGAAUUUUUAAAAAUAUAGGUGCUAAAAGAAAUUAAUAAAUGGGUACAAAAUAAAGCUAAAAAGAAAAUACUACAAAUUUAAAAAACAAAUUUGCAAAUUAAAAGUGGGUAAAAACUAAAAAUAUAAAUAUAUGAUACAAAGUUUAGGCAUAAAACAUAAAUAUACCAUAGUAAUUUUUCUAUCAUUGAUUAAAUAUACAAUGUCACGUGAUGGUAUACACAUGGGUACAAACACAAAUAAAACUUUAAAAAAUAUGGGCACAAAAAAAAAACUAAUAUAUGGGUACAAAUUAAAAAUGAAAAGAAAAUUGGUACAAAUUAAAAAUUGGUACAAACUAAAAAUAAAAAUAUAUGAUAAAAAAUUUAGCCAUAAAUAUAAAUAUUCUAAUUGUAACAUUUUUAACAUUAAAGGAAUAUAUUUAAAAAUAAAAAUAUUUUAUUAUUCAUGACACAUUCCGACCUGGAAAGGUCGAAGCAUGCUGACCGUCACCGUGAGGUGACGUAACCAUAAGGGUAAGUGAUGCAAAAAGUGAAUAAAAUUAAAACUAAUUAGAACUAAACAGUGAAAAAGUGCGCAAUUCGUGGGUUGAACCCACUACAAUUAUUCAGAGCGUAAUAGACAGGGAGACUACGAAAGAGUAGUCAAAGCAACCAAAGUACACUUAUUACAUAAUAGUGAUAAGUUCGUACGUCUAAACAGAAGGAAAUGUCAAAACUGCCGUGAUUCCUCGAGUGCCACUAAGAGUACAGCUAUCUAGGUCCUGGAGGGGCGAAAACAAAGUUGAGUGGGUCAGCAAAACAAGGCUUAUAAGAAAACCAUUAUCUUUGAAUAUACUAACCUCUCGCCAUAAAAUAAGUAUAGUUUCCUCAAAACAUACUACGUAAGUAUGAAAUCCAAUAUAUCAGCCAUAUAACUAGAAAUAUGUCAAGUAAAUGAUGUAUCAUAUGCCACAAUAAUAAUCAUGUGAUAAUCAAUAUUACUAAGUGCUCAUCCAUCUAAGCUGACACACAAGUUCGAACAAAUGGUUUCUGACACGAACAGGACUGGGUGUAAUCAAUAUGCUCUAGUACUAUGAUCACGUGAAGACUGGUGCAAAAGCACAUCACAUACAAGUCGGAUCGCCUAAUGCAAUCUACCCGACAAGACUGGCACCUAAACUUGGAUCCAAGGUGAGCGAAUGGUGCAGAUGUGAACAUACACGUGAAGGACUGGCCCUGGGGCGAGUAUUAACACCGGGUGUAGCAGGAUAAGCAUGUACACAAGUACGUAUGAAUGCCAUGACAGUAAUAUCACAACCGUAUAGCAGCAUUUAUUACAAUUUAUAUCACAAUAAAGAUACUAGGCAAGUUAGGCGUAAAAGUGAAGUAAAUACGCAUUUAUGGAAACUAUAAAUAUAUAUAGGUAUAAAACAACUACCCACUCACAAGUACGUUGCUGGGUCGUAGCUCCCGAGCCUAGCUUGGCCUCGAAAAUCCUCGAAAUAAGUUUCCCCUAUAUGUGAAAUAACUAAAUAACAUUAAUUAAAGCACAUAACGGAAACCUAAAUAAAACCUUCAUAGUUUGCUCAAACCUAGGGUGUAAAUAUAUGAAAUCGAUCUGCUCGACGACACGAACACACACGUGUCAACCACGUGCUGCCCAAAGUGGCUGUCCACGCGCGCCCACGUGCCCCCUCGAGUACACUGUACUUGCCUUCUUCGCGAAAAUCUGCAGUUUUUCAGAUUUUUUGCCCAACUUCUAGAGCUCAUAACGAGUUCGAUUCUCAACCAAAUUCACUUCUACAAAAGCCAAAUUAAAGCUAGGAAUGUGAUCUACCGAUCCCAAUUUACAGAAAGUUUGAAUAUAGUCCGUGUUGUUCAGGAAUUUGGCCUAAAAGUUGCCAAACGACCACGGUUGAAAUUUUCAGAAAACUAUAAUUUUCUUCCCAACUUCCAGAGUUGAUUUCUAACUCGUUACUUAACCAAACUCAGUGAUUCAAAAGCCAUUUUGAAGUUAGGAAUGUAGAGAACAAGUUUGUACAUAGAAGAAGUCCAGUUGUGGUCGAGGUUGACCAGAAAAACAGUUUGAAAGUGACCAAAUGGCCACAGUUCUUGAGUGAAAAAUGGCAGGUUCUCCUUCUUCUCGAGUUUCUGGGUACAACCACACGUUCAAAACACAAACAAAGGAUCAAUAACAACCCAUAGAAGUGAAAUGAAGGUUCUAAGGGUUUCUCAAGGCUUACCUAAGCCAUACAUGGCCUGAAAAUCGAUAUGUCGAACUCGCCGAGUCGACCUUCCGAGUUAGUGAGUCAAAACUCGUCUACAUCAUAUUUCAAGGACAUGGUUGUGAUCAUGGGACUGAGAUGAUCACAAUGGUGUAGUUGGUUUGUCACGUUUGUGAGUUUUGGUGUGUUUUGUGGUUGUUGCAGAGAGGAAGAAGAAGAAGAAAUGUGGCGUGGGAGAGGGAGAAGAGAGAGAGAGAUGCUUUUCUGAUUGAGGGAACAGAAAAUAAAGAAGAGAUGGGAUAGGUGACAGUGAAUAAUGAAGGGGGAAGUACACGGGAUGGGUUUAAAAGGAAUCCAAAGAUAGGUUUUUUAGAUUUCCUACAGUAAAAGGAAAUCGAAAUCUAUCUGAAGUAGAUGUUUUUACACUUUAAAAUUUACGCCUACUCGUACUAGCGUGUACAAUUUAAAUGCGAUAGCGAGAAAUAAAAAGGAAAGUGAUCAGAAUAAGUCCACGUCACUUGCCAAUAAGGGCAUAAUCGUCAAUACACAUACUCGGGGAGAAAUUACAUAGGAAAAUUAGGGACGGGUCGUCACAAUUCAAAUAAUUAAUGAUGCUAUUAAUACCCAAGGACCUUGAUCAAAAAUUGAAAAUCAAUAGGAUUUUAAUCAAUGGAGUAAUAAAAAUAAGGAUGUGAACCUAAUUUCCCAAAAAAAAAUAAACCAAUUGUCUUCCCCCGCACCCACCCUCCACACCCAACCUCGCACCCACCCUCUUCCCUCAUCUACACACCCCACUCCUUAAAUCCACAUCCAUUCCCCCCAUUUUCUCUACGCUCAAGUUCUCCUCCCGCGGAAUCGGCCUGGAGAACGGGAUCUGGGUUUGGUUUUUUUAUUUUUAUUUUUAUUUUAUUAUUUUAUAUUUUUUAUGGGUUGCAGGUAGUGGGUGCGAGGGUGGGUGCGGAGGGUUUACGGAAGACAUGAUAGGGGAAGAAAGGGAUGAUUUGCAAGGAAUGGGGGGUUGGGGAAGAUGAAGAUAGGUUGUGUAGUUUUUUUUUUUUUUUUUUUUUUUUUUCUGGGUUGCAGCAGAUAGGGGGAAGAAGAGGAAAGAAUAUGAAGAUGGGGGAGAAGAGAGAGGACGUGGGGGGGGGGAGGGACAAAGUUUUUGUUUUUUUUUUCUUUUUUCUGGGUUGCAGCAGGUUAGGAAGAAGAGGAAGGGAGAUGAAGAUGGGGGAGAAGAGAGAGGGCGGAGGGGGAAAGUUUUGUUUGGUUUUUUUUUAAUAACCUUCUUUAUUAUCUUAAUAUUUAAAAAUAUUAAAUGAUUUUUUUUAGUUUUUAAUAAUAUUUUAUUAAAUUUUUAAUAGAAAGUGGAUUCCGAAUCAAGCCACGUCAGCAAUUAACUAAGAAAUUAACAGAAAAACUAAUGGAGGUAUGACAUUGGCACAAAUUCGUAAGAUGAGGUAUGACAUUGUCAAUUUUAAAAGAUGACGUAUGAAAUUGUCGUGUGACACCAAUAGUUGAGGUAAUUGGAAAGAUAGAUUAAUAUUUCAUAUAUAUAUAUAUAUAUUAAUGUUUUGAUUUCAACAAACUCAUCAUUUCAAAUGAAGUUUGAGAAGGUUUGAGAAAAUGAGGAAGCCACACAUCCCUUCUGAUGCGAUAGGUAUAUGCAAAUUAUAAAUACAUGUAAAUGCAUCUCAUUCAAAACGUAGAAAAAUCAUUUUCAUACUGCUGAAAGAACCACAUAGAAAUUCGCCAAAAAUCAAGUUUUCCAGUGCUUGAAUAUUAUUUUGAUUGUUGAAUCCUUAUGAAGUAGACACCCACUGAAUUACAAGCACAAAGUAAAGGCGAAAUUAUUUUUCAAGAAUAUUGCGGUACGCAAGGCUCGAUGGUUAUUUUGUUUGUUUGAUAUUAGUUUCGUUUAAUCCGAAUUGUAUCAAUAUAUAUAUAUAUAUAUAUAUAUAUAUCUCAAAUUUAUUUCUGCAAUGUAUAUAUAUUUGCGAUUGAUUGUUGAUUUUUAACCAAAAUUAUAUAAGGAGCUGAGUGUGUGCGUAUAUAUGUAUAUUCUUUAAAGAAAGCAUCCCCAUUUUUUCCGAAAAAUCUUCAAUCUUCUAAAUCGUUUAUUUUUUAAGUUAUAACUCAUAAUCAUUGUUGCAAAAUAUUAGCCAAAUUGAAAAUAUUUGAGGCAUCUAAUUGAGUUCAAAGAAAUUGAAGAACAUUAUGUUCUAAGAAACCUUGAAAUUUUAUCGUGACAAUUAAAUGGGUAAAUGGUUUUGGAUUGAAUUGAUUUUUUUCAUAAAUGAUCUAUGGAUUGAGAUUAACAAAAUAGACAGUUUAGAUCGUUAAAGUUCGAUGUGGAAUGACUUCCACAACUAAUUCUCAUUUAUAAAAAAAAACAUUUUUUUUGAAAAAAAUGAAGAUCGGUUUCCUUAAAGAAAUACUAGCAUAUGCCCACACACACUAUGUAUGAACAAUUUCAUUUCAUUUUGUUUUUUUUAUUAUGAAGUGGAAUUAGUUUUUAAAAUUUUGAAGAUAAAAAAAAUCAGUUAUGAAAAUUGGGAUAAUGAUGAGUGAUUUCUUCUAACAUGGGAAUACUUUUUAUUUUAUUUUUAAUUUUUAAAUAGGGCAUGUUAUACUAACCUGGUUGUGAGGUUUCUAUAAAAAACAGCAAAAUUUAUAUUCAUAUAAUUACUAAAUUGCCUAUAUUUUUUAAUUGGGUACAGUUUUGGUGAGGGGGUUAAAAUAAUAAUUUCAUGAAAUUUUGAUUGACAACUGCUUUUGUACAUUCAAACUAUCCAAAAAACAUCAUGAUUUCACUUACGUAUAUGAAAAAAAUUAUGGUGGGACAAUUUCUCUUAAUAAGUGCAUAUUUUUUAUCUUAUAUAAAUAUUUUGAUAUAAAAUUACUAUUUUACCCUUCUUUAUGUAAAUAUUAUGUAUAAAAAAUGAGGGCAAAAUAGAAAAAAGGGAAAAAAGUUCAAAAGAUACAAAAUUACUAUUUUACCCUCCUCAUGUCAACAUUGUGUAUUUUAAAGUGAGGGUAAAAUUGGAAGAAAAUGGAGCAAAUAAUUGACAAAAUUAGUUUGUUUGCAAAAGUCAAAAUUUGUCGGCAAAAGCUCUUUCCUGACAAAAAAAUUCGUCGGCCAUUUCGUUGCACAAAGCAUUUCGCGUAAAACUCCAACCGACAAAAUUUAACAUUUCGUUUGCUAUGAAGUGGUUCUUUCCCGACAAUACAUAUUUUGUAGCCAUUCUUAAACCCUGAGAAAAAAUUCCGUCAGAAAAGGAUUUUUAAGCCUACAAAAUGUACCUUUUAGCCAAUAUGAUGUGUUCAUCGACAAAGAUAUUUUGUCGACAUAGUCUUUCUCUACCGACAAAACUAGCUUUGUCGGGUGAGAAUUUUAAUUUAUAAAAAAAAAAUAACAUAAGCUUGAACACACAUUUUUUUUUAAAAUAAUGCUUCUUUGAUUAGUAAUAUGUACAUGUACAGUGGUUAUACAAAAGUACAUAUUAUACAAUAAUCCUAUCCUACUCUCAUUCUUUAGUAUCGGUCUAGCAAUAGCAUUGUAUAAUAAUAUCCUGCAAAAAUAAUAUAAAUGGUAAUUAUUAUGUAUGACAACAUAAGAAAAAGCAUCCUUAAUACUGAAAUAAUCAAAUUGUUGCCAUUAAUCAUUUUACAAGUAAUAAGAUUUAGUUUUUACUGUUUAUGAUUCACACAACAAUCUGUUAGGAAGUAGAAAAUGGGGAUGGGCUACAGUAAAACCAUAUUAUUACAAUAAACAGUGAAAACUUAACCAAUUUGUCAACAAGAAAGCAUGUACUCAUGUAAUUAUGUAAUCAGACUUGAAACAGACUUGAAUUUUACUUGUAACUUGGAUGAUAAAUCUUGGACUCAUGUAAUCAAGCAUAUAGUAAGUUUUGAUUAAUACCAUUCAUAUAUUCUUAGAGGCCAAGACAACAGUUCAUCUAAACCUUGCAAUCAACAUUACCUGCAGAAAGCUCACAACUUAAAAAAUUCUCACAACUUUAUCAAAUUGUGUUAAUGACGACAAUUUGUAACUUGUUGGGGAAUCAAAUUACUUGAACAAUGCUCCUUGCUCAUGUCUAGCAUUUGACAUACCACUCAUCCAUUUAUUUAGAAUAAACACAAGGCAGAGAAAAACAAAAUAUACAAUACAAGAGAAAGGUUAUAUAAACUUACAACGAUCUGAGUGUUGGUCGCUGGAUUUGGAUUUGGGUAUCUGAUAAGAGAGGAAUCGUACGAGGAACCGAUAGAGGAACUGCAUCGGCAACAGAGAGCAACUGAUAUGGUGGAGAAUAAUAGCUGCUAGGAUGUUCAAUCCAAGAAGAGCAACUGAGAAGGGAGAUAGCGAUGAGAUCCAAAUCUAGGGUGUGGCAAGAUUUUUAUCCUUCAUCGUUGGGGUGCGAUAGCCGAUAACCUCUAAAUACGAAAAGUUUUUUUUUUUUUCGUUUUUCGCGGUAUCGCGCCUUUUUUUAAUAGACCGUGCCGACGAUUUUCUUGACAUUUAUGCUUCGUCGGGUAAACUUAUUUUUUGCGACAUUUUAUUUGUCAGCUUAAACCUAUUAGUUUAUAGCCGACAAUUCGGAUAUUUUGUCGGGGAAAGACUUUUGUACAGAUUAAAUUUUGCUUUGUCGGCUUAGAAUUGGUUGGUAAAAUGACAUUUUUUUAGUAGGAUCCUAAGGUAAGGUCCUUAUUGACAAUGAAUGUGGUGAUAGAGAUGAUAAAAAUGAUAGUCACACCAUUCUAAAUUUCAAUUUUGUUCUGUACAUCUCACACCUUAAUUUACUUAAACUAUUAGUGUUCAUAUUACGAGAAAAGUUCGCCCUACAGCUAAAGACUUAUCUUCUUAUAUUUAUAAUACCGAUAUGUAAUUUGACGUGAUUGUAAACAAUUAAUAACUACUUUAUUACCAUAUUUGUUUUAAUGGUACAUAGAGUACAGUACAACUUAACAAAAGAUACAAUGUUAUACUUUCAUCGAGGUAAAAAACCCAACAUACGCAAGCAAAUUAAAGAAGGGCCACCAGGUUUUCAUCUACUUUAUUUAUAAUCACCCUUGUUGAGAUGCAUAUACACCUCGACUUCAAGCAAACGAACAUGCAGUUAAGGUGCUGGUACGAUGAUGGAAGGUGAAAUGUGCGACCCAACCUCCCAUAGCUCCAAAAUCCCAUGAAUAAAGUCAUAGUAACCACCCCUGAGUGCUAGGUUUUUGUCCGAGAGUGCCUUUUGAACGUAAGGGUAACUUUGUAGGUUUACCAGUGACAAAUUUACUGCUUCCUGCAUCAUUCAAGAAGAUGUUAAGUGAGAUUUAAAGUUGUAACUAUGGAAGCGCACGCACGCACCUCAGCUAGUCACUGACAAUUAUUUCAUUUGCAAAAAGUGAAUCAAGAGUAAAUGGCCUUUCAAAUAUUUCAACAAUCCAACAUCGAAUGUCUUACCCUUGCACAAUCCUCACAUUGUUCAUUAAUAUCGGCGUCCCCUUCCUUUGCUAUAACCUUUGCCUUGGCGGGUAAACCGAUUUUGACCCAUUCGUCUAUGAAGUCGCUGCAUAUUCCAAUGACAUGGUUAAUGGAUUCAAAAUCAUAUAACAUUAGCAAGUUCUAAUGAUCUCAGUUCAUUGCUUAAAUGACUAGGGUGGGUUUUUUGCUAUACUCUUCGACCAUCCUAAAAAUGCUAACAAAUAUCCAAAUUAACAGGUCUUAAAUUGCAUCCUCAUAAACGAUUAUGAUUAAUUAUUUUCCAUAAUCUACUACUUUUGUGUGUAAAAAGACUUACAAGGGAACAGAGUUAUCCUCAGGGUGAGUCAUAAGCCUCUUUAUCCCACCACAAUGACUGUGUCCGAUUACCAAAAUAUUUGUUACCUGUUCAAUUUUCUUCUUGUUAGCAUUCGAUUCAUAUAUAUUUUAGUAACACGUGAUCAAGAGAAAAGAACUAAGGGUUAUUAAUUUAACAAAUUAAAAGACUUGGAAUUAAUGUUCACCCCGAGUACUGUAAUAGCAUAUUCUAUGACUGCUCCAACUCCUGCAUAUUUCAGCUGUAAAGAUAUAAAAAUAAAUAAAAAUUAUUUUUCGUAGUCGGAUGCAUCACUAUUAUGUGAUAAGUUAUCAGAAAUGAAGUUCAAUAUUAUUUUGGACACGAAAAUGACACACUUGCUCACGUAUAGUUUCUAAUACAGGUGUGCAUUACUAUUAUAUAAUGUAGAGAGUAAUAAACCUGAUUGAAUGCAGGAACCAUGUUCGCAAUGUUGCGAACCAUGAAGGCCUCCCCAGGUUGGAAACUAAGGAUAUGUGAGGGACUCACUCGGGAGUCCGAGCAUGCAAAUACCAGAAACUGCAUUGGAAAUUAGCAACAAAAAGAUUAAACAUUUCUUGGUCUACUUAUUUUAAGAUGUUACAGCCAAAUAGUACCUUGGGGUU